GGACGGAUCGUCUCAUCUCCGAAGCAAUGUCGUGGGAGGGGACCCGUUUUACUGCCCCUUUACUUGAGCAAUGUUGAUCGUUGUGGCUGCGAUGGGGGUUUGUUGCUUAGUUUUGGGACAGAAAAGAAGAGAUCUUGGGCAGCUGCAAAAUGGUUGCUACGGGACACAUGACUGCCUUUUUCAUCUCAUGUUUUGGAUGUCGUCGUCACAAAUGUCUUGAGCUCGAGCUGUAGUUAGUGCAAUUAGUCAUGUAACCUUAAGGGUAAAGCUCCUGCGCGUAGUCUCGUUUGAAAUAAAAUAACACAAGAGAUUUGGGAGGUACUUCUCAAGCACCUGCUCUGCAUUCAACUAUAUACAGAUGUGUUCACUGAAACUGUGCAUGAUCAUCAGAUCAUGUGCAGAGAGCAUCCUUUCUUCUAAAUAUAAUAUUCGAACGUGCUCCACGCUCCUGAUUUCUUACCUGGCAGGUAAUCAGAUGGCCAGAGUAUAGCAAAGAUAUUGCUAGGGUAAUUGGGAACACCAAACUCCAGAAUAUGCUAGGGUCUGACGAAUUUUUUGAGCCUUAAGUGGGCUGCAGUCCAUGAAGCCCAUUUUGCACUAUUUUUUUAAUCUAUAGAAUAUAUAUAAACUACAAUCCUGUGUUAUAAAUAAUAUACAUAUAAAUAAAAUUAAUUGCAUUACAGAAAAUAAUCAUGUAUUAAUUUAACAUUUAUCCGCAUAAUUAGAUUAUAAAUUACAAAACUAUUCAUGUAAUACUUUGCAUAUUUAAUAAAAAUAUAAAAGUAAUUUUACAUGUUUUUAUAUAUUUUAGUAAUCCUUAUAGAAAUUUGAAAGUGUUCAUAGUUUAAAAGAAAAUAUUCAGGUACUCUCUCCGUUCCACAAUAUAAGAACGUUUUUCAAGCUAUGUGCUCCCUCUGUCCCACAAUAUCAGAACAUUUUUCAAGCUAUGCUGGAGUAGUAUAUUAAAGUGUCCAUGCUUUAAUAAAGUUUUUGUUAAUAAAUGUUCACUGUUUAAAAUAAUAUUUGUGUAGUAUAUAAAAGUGUUCAUGCUUUAAGAAAGUUUAUAUUUUUCUAUAUAUUUCAAUAAAUGCUUAUAUAAGUUUACAAUGUUCAUGUUUUAAUAAAAUAUUUAUGUACUUCAUAAAAGUGCUCUUUUUUUGAAAAUUAUUUUAUUUAUAAUCCACAAUUAUAAUCACAUAUAUUUUUUAUUUUUAAGAAAAAUAAUAGUCAUAAUGGGCCAUAGGGAUUAUAAUCCCCUUAAGACUAAAACAUUACAAAAAUCGACUUCCAUCGAUGGCUCCCGGAUCCGAUCUGACAUCAAGUUCGAGAGAACUGGCUUGUGCUGCUCAUGGAUCUGUUGCGACGCCAAACCCUAGAGGAUCCGCUUUCCGUGGAAAUUCGCAGAGUACUCCAGGUUGCCGAAUCUGACGAUUCGGCCUGCAGCGUAAUUCUUGACCUGGCCAAGGUGGCUCAUCGAGCCAGUGACAAAAGUGGUGAUGUCGAAGAUGAACAUCCGGCCUGACGCGUAAAUCGCAUAGGAACCGAGCUGAACUCCUAUCGGGCCCUUGAGUUCACCAAGUGGGACCUACAUGGGCCAACACUACCGGAGCUAAACCUGGUAGAUCGCUUGGUAGGGUAUCUCGGCUAGGCGAUUGAGGUGGUAACAUGAGACAAAGUUUUAGUUAGGUUCAGGCUCCCGUGGUGAAGAUAGUACCCUACUCCUUCUCAUGUAUAUUGCGAUAGGGGUGUGUACAGAGUACAGAUGAAUACCAAGGGAUUGUAUGUUGUCUGUCGACGAGCCUAGCCGCCGGCUUAUAUAACAUGCCGGGGGUCCUAUGGUUAUAGAUCCUAGUUUACUACGUUGAUGGAGGUAGAGUCUUCCACAACUUUGGUAUCUUUGUUUGUAUGCCAAGUCUUCUGAAGUCUUCAUAUAACUUAUCAUGGGCCGCCCAAAGUGGCCCAGAUUGGAACCGACCUAGGGGUUCUCGGCCCGACCCACCAGGUCAGGCCCCAACAUGGUGAGAGACUCCUCAGCCGGAACACCGUCACUCUGUAAACUUGUUUAGCGUUGAAACUGUGAAUGACAAUGUGUUGAGAACAUGAAUCCCUUCUCCCUCCGCCACAUAAUUUAAGACGUUGUUACAUCUAGUAUGCGCUCACAUAUUAGAUGUACUAACGUCUUAUAUUAUGGGGCGGAGGGAGUAAUAAAUAUACUAUUCGAAUGUGCUCCAUUCUUGAUGUUUACUACACAACUUUAUUCUUGUAGACACGUGUUGGGCCUUCAAAUGCAGAGUUUUGUAGGACAGUAGCAAUUUUCCCUCAAGUGGAUGACCUAAGGUUUAUCAAUCCGUGAGAGGUGUAGGAUGAAGAUGGUCUCUCUCAAACGACCCUGCAACCAAAUAAAAGAAAUCUCUUUUAUCCCCAAUACACCCAAUACAAUGGCAAAUUGUAUAGAUGGCAAAUUGUAUAGGUGCACUAGUUCGGCGAAGAGGUGGCGAUAAAAGUGUAAUAUGGAUGGUAGAAAUGUAUUUUUAUAAUCUGAAUAGAUAAGAACAACAAGGUAGUAAAUAGUAAACAGGCACAAAAACGGUAUUGCAAUGCUUAAAAACAAGGCCUAGGGUGCAUACUUUCACUAGUGCAAUCUCCCAACAAUACUAACAUAGUUGGAUCAUAUAACCAUCCCUCAAAGUGAGAUGAAGAAUCACUGUAAAGUUCCUAUCUGGCGGAGAACAUAAGACAUAAUUGUUUCUAGGGUACGAAACAACCUCAAAUCUAUUCUUUCCGUUCGAUCUAUUCAAGAGUUCGUACUAAAAUAACACAAAGCUAUUCUUUUCGUUCGAUCUAUCCUAGAUUUCGUACUAAAAUAACACCAAAGCAAAUUCAGAUUUAUAAUAUUCAAUCCAACACAAAGAACUUUAAAGAGUGCCCCAAGAUUUCUACCGGAGAAACAAAGACAAGAACGUGCAUCAACCCCUAUGCAUAGAUUACCCCAAUGUCAUCGCGGGAAUCCGCGAUUUGAAUGCCAAAACAUAUAUCAAGUGAAUCAAUACGAUACCCCAUUGUCACCUCGAGUAUUCAAUUGCAAGACAUAUAUCAAGUGUUCUCAAAUCCAUAAAAGUAUUCAAUCCGAUAACAACGAAAUCUCAAAGGGGGAAACUCAAUUCAUCACAACAAGAUAGAGAGGGGAAAACACCAUAUGAUCCGACUAUAUUAACAAAGCCCAUGAUACAUCAAGAUUGUGACAUCUCAAGAUCGCGCGUGAGAGAGAUUAAACACAUACCUAUUGGUACAAACCCUCAGCCCCGAGGAUGGACUACUCCCUCCUCAUCGUGGUGGCCGUCGGGAUGAUGAAGAUGGCCACCGGUGAUGAUUCCCCCCUCUGGCAGGGUGCCAGAAUGGGGUCUAGAUAAGGCCUUGCGGCGGCGGAACUUCCGAUUUAGGGCUGCCCCCAAGGGUUUUGGAAUAUUUGGGAUUUUAUAGGGCGAAGAAGGGGUGCGGCAGGCCACCGAGGUGGGCACAACCCACCUGGGCGCGCCUGGGGGCCCAGACGCGCCCUGGUGGGUUGUGCCCCCCUCGGGGCACCCCCAAGGUGCUGCUCUGGUCCAUCCUGAGUGUUCUGGUCCAUAAAAAAAUCCUCCAGGAGUUUCGCAGUGUUUGAACUCCGUUUGAUAUUGAUUUCCUGCGAUGUAAAAAACAAGCAAAAAACAACAACUGGCACUGGAUCAAUAGGUUAGUCCCAAAAAAUGAUAUAAAGUUGCUAUAAAAUGAUUGUAAAACAUCCAAGAAUGAUAAUAUAAUGGCAUGAAUACUUCAUAACUUAUAGAUACGUCGGAAACGUAUCAAUGCUCUACAUUUUCUUGUCUGGUAAUCAAGUGGUCAGAGUAAAAUAGUGGUGGUGUAGUUUUGUCUUGGAGGUGCUUUUUCAUUCUUCUUCUGGUGCAUCAACCUUUACUAAAGAUCAACAUGACAUAUGUCUCGGGAACCUCCAUGGGGGAGGCUCUUCACCCUUUGCCCUCGGUUUUGGCAAGGCAUGUGAAGAAGAUGGUGGCCCCAACAUCUUUGACGAGGUUGUCAUUUGUACAAGGACCCAACUACGUUAUCUGUAUCGUUCUAGGCCCUAAUGGGAGGGCUUUUAAGUAAUUGCACUUUCGUUUAGGCCUUUCUUGUAGUGAUGUGUCAUAUUUGCUAAUUCGGUGUCAACUUCUGGGACCACCGAGUUGUUAAAGAAGAGCAAUGCAAUGCACCGGCUCUUAUAGUUAGACCGAUGAAAUACUACACCAUGAGAAGCCCUUCGAGAGAGAAGAUAACUAUGGUUUGUUAGAUAUAGAUUCAUGCCUACAUUUUUCCUUCUUUAAAACACCUGAGCAGUUGACAACUCCUAAGUUGAUAUAUCGCUUCCUUUCUUCCUUGAACAAAGGCGACCAACUCCCCUCUCGCUCCAUCAGCGAGGUUGUGGGUUCUUUUCUCCUAUGAUUGCCGCUCCAACGAUGGAAGGUCCGGGGAAACUCCGUCCCGCUGCCUCAACUAUGGUUGAGAUUCAGAUUAGUUUGUCCGACAUGGGCAUUAGGAUAGCAUUGCCGCCUAUGUUUGGAAAAAAAAAUCCCUGACCCAGCCCAUCCCGACGACGCCCCAGGUGGUGAACUUGAGGGGUUGUCCUUGGGAGCCUUAUUCCAUCGUUCGCUUGGUGCGAUGGAUCAAGUGGUGCUUGUUAUGUAUGCUGUUGAUCCGGUCUUGUGUGGCGCCGUCUUUAUUUGGGGGAAAGACAAAGGUCCAAGAACAUUCUGGCUCGAUGAUAUCGACAACAUGCGAUGGAUCCCAUGUUUCGAGGAGCAGUCCGAUGAUCCCUGGAUGAUGCGCAACAAUAACAAUGGCCUUGCCAAUGGCAAACCUCUUCUUCGGCUCACAAAGGCCUAUCCAGACGAUGGUGCUUUUUGGUCUCCGACGACAACUAGUGGUGAGGAUGCAGGUUGAAGAAAUUUAAAAGGGCUUUAGUGUCGUUUUACUUUCGCGGGGAGUUUUUUUGCAAAUGUUCCUCAACAUCCGUCUCCUCUCGCCAUCUCCCAUUGUUUACGUGGGUCGUGUUGUAAUUUGACAUUUGUCUGCUGGUAUGUGAAAAUUCCUAAAAAAAGUCUCGAAAUAUGAUUUGUACAAGGAAAUGAUGUCUGCUAGAACUAUGUCGGUAUUUCCCCAAAGAGGAAGGGAUGAUGCAGCACAGCGACGGUAGGUAUUUUCCUCAGUGAUGAGACCAAGGUUAUCGAACCAGUAGGAGAACACGCAACACAAUGUAAACAACCCCUGCACACAAAUAACAAAUACUCGCAACCCAACGUGUUAAAGGAGUUGUCAAUCCCUUUCGGGUAAUGGUGCAGGAAAUUGGAAAGGAGACGUGAUAAAGUUGUAAUAGAUAGGAUAAAUAGAUCGCAAAUAAAAUAAAGUACAACAAGGUAUUUUUGUAUUUUUGGUUCAAAGGAACUGAAAAUAAAAAUAAAGGAAAAUAGAUCGCGAAGGCAAAUAUAUUAAAGAAGAGACCCGGGGGCCGUAGGUUUCAUUGGUGGCUUCUCUUGAGGAAAUAAGCAAACGGUGGGAAAACAAUUACUGUUGGGCAAUUGAUAGAACUUCAAAUAAUCAUGACGAUACCAGGCAAUGAUCAUUACAUAGGCAUCACGUUCAAGAUUAGUAGACCGGCUCCUGCCUGCAUCUACUACUAUUACUCCAUACAUCGACCGCUAUCCAGCAUGCAUCUAGUGUAUUAAGUUCAUGGAAAAACGGAGUAAUGCAAUAAGAACGAUGACAUGAUGUAGACAAGAUCUAUUUAUGUAGAAAUAGACGCCAUCUUGUUAUCCUUAAUAGCAACGAAACAUACGUGUAGUUUCUCCUUCUGUCACUGGGAUCAAGCACCGUAAGAUCGAACCCAUCACAAAGCACCUCUUCCCAUUGCAAGAUAAAUAGAUCAAGUUGGCCAAACAAAACCCAAAUAUCAGAGAAGAAAUACGAGGCUAUAAUCAAUCAUGCAUGUAAAAGAUCAAAGAAGACUCAAAUAACUUUCAUGGAUAAAAACAUAGAUCUGAUCAUAAAUUCAAAGUUUCAUCGGAUCCCAACAAACACACCACAAAAAAACUUACAUCGUAUGGAUCUCCAAAAGACCAUUGUAUUGAGAAUCAAGAGAGAGAGAUAGAGAGAGAGAGGAAGCCACCUAGCUACUAACUACGGACCCGUAGGUCUACAAAGAACUAUUCACGCAUCAUCGGAGAGGCACCAAUGGACAUGAUGAACCCUUCCGCGAUGGUGUCUAGAUUGCUGGUGUUUCUAGAACUUGCGGCGGCUGGAAUUGAUUUUCGUUGACUCCCCUAGGGUUUCUAGAAUAUUGUGGUAUUUAUAGAGUAAAGAGGCGGUGCGGGAGGACACCGAGGUGGGCACAACCCACCUGGGCGUGCCUGGGGGCCCAGGCGCGCCCUGGUGUCUUGUGCCCCCCUUAGGCUCCCUCUCCGUUACUUCUUCGGCCCACUGGAUGUCUUUUGGUCCAAAAAAUCCACAAAAAAUUUCACUGCGUUUGGACUCCGUUUGAUAUUGAUUUUCUGCGAUGUAAAAAACAAGCAAAAUACGACAACUGGCACUGGGCAAUAUGUCAAUAGGUUAGUACCAAAAAAUGAUAUAAAAUGACUAUAAAAUGAUUCUAAAACAUUCAAUAAUAAUAUAACAGCACGGAACAAUAAAAAAUUAUAGAUACGUUGGAGACCUAUCAGAAAACAAAAGAAGUCUUAGGGGAAUCGUACAAUCGGAUCUUCGUCGGCUUUUACUAGCAUGCCCGUAAGAGCAUCUAUAGAAGAUGUAAAUUUUGAAGAUGUAAAAGUAGGUGUUGUAUAAUUUACAUCACUAAAAAGUGGUUUUUACAUCUCCAAGAAGACCCAACUCCAACAAAUGAUGCAAAACGGAGAUGUAAAACUGCAACUCCAAUAAGUGAUGUAAACUGGAGAUGCAAAAUCGGCCGGCCGCCGUGCGGCUGCUGUUCAUCUGCGAACGGCCGCAUUUUCACAUCAAAUUUUCAUAAUUGUAGUAACAAAAGUACAUCAUCGAUCAUAGUUUUAAAUUCUACAAGCAAAAUUUAAUUGUCUCAAACGAAGUUGUUAGUCCAACAAAUGAAAAUGCACAUAGACGUCACUCAAUUUGCGUCCUCUCCAUUCUCACUAGUGUCAUUGUCGACGGUGGUCUCAUCAUCAUCAACGACUUCUUUCUCGACAUUUUCUUGUGUUGAAUUCUCGUUGCCACGAACUCCACCGGAAGCACCUUCAUUGCCAUCUCCCAUGCCGGUCAUGGUGCCACCGAAGCCACCUCCCAUGCCACUCAUCAUGUUGCCACCGAACCCACCUCCCAUGCCACUCAUCAUGUUGCCGCCGAAGCAACCUCCCAUGCCACUCAUCAUGUUGCUGCCGAAGCCACAUCCCAUGUCGGCCAUGUUGCCGCUGAAGCCACUUCCCAUUCCACCUCCCAUUCCUCCGAAGCCACCAUCCAUGUUGCCACCAAAGCCACCUCCCAUGUUUCCACAAAAUGCACCAUUCAUGGCACCACCAUCAUGUUCAUGUACCCUCCCAUUACACCUCCCAUUCCGCCUCCCAUCAUGCUUCUCAUGAACAUUUUCUUCUUCAUCAGCAUUUCAUCGCGACAAAGUUCGACAUACGCCUUUGCCUUGACAUCAAGAGUGGAUGUGUCCAUGAACAUAAACUUGGGUGCCUUAUCCUCCACUAUCUUCAUCUCCUCGGCCCCUGCCUUUCUCUCCUCAAGCUCAACUUUUCUCUCCUCGGCCGCUGCCAACCUCUCUUCGGUCGUCGCCCUCUUCUCCUCGGCCGCCGCCCUCUGUCGCUCGGCUUCACUCCUCUCCUCAAUUUCUUUGAGCUUCAACAAUUUUCUUCUUCCGCAUACUCUUUCCUCGCCAUGACAAUGGCAUCAAAUCCAUCCUUGAGAUCAUUGUCUCCGCCCUUGGUCCCCUUCAACACUUUCUUAGUUCCAUCGGGCCUAUAUGAUUUGGUCGCCGAGUGAGGAGUGGGGCUCCUUCUCUCCUCACCCGGGGCAUCUUCAUCAUCCUCCACCACCACACUUUUCUUCUUGGAAGCAUAAAAAACUUCUCUAGUUUUUCACUUCUUCUCAUCCUUGAGCUCUUUGUAGCAAUGAUGGAAAGUGAAAGCUUUUCCUUUCUUCUUCCUCUUCUCUCGUUUGUUGUUCCUCUCUCGAAACAAUCCUUGUGCAAUCAUUUUGUACAACAAAACAAUCAAGAUGUCAUCAACAAAUUAGUGAACAUUUCAAUAUUUUGUGGAAAGUGGAGAAAGCACACAUGAAUAGCAAACGAUUAUUACCAAGUCACUUUCAUCACAACCACUUGAGUCCAUGCGAUCAACAUUUGCCAAGCAACCCACCCACUUUUGACAUUCCGCGUUGAUGGUGCCCCAACGUUGGCGAAUGGAGUCACUUGAGCGAUAGUGGCCGCUAGUGUUGUGCGCAUCAAAGAAUUCCUUGAUGUGUUGCCAAUAUGUGACGGCGGAUUGGUCGGUCCCAACGUUUGCAUCUUGAGGUACUUUCUUCCAAGCGGUGCAAAUCAACAGAUCUUCUUUGUUGGUAUAAUUUGUGGUUCUUCCCUUCAAAACAAAGCCCUCAUCAUCCAUGUCAAGAUUGUCAUCACCAUAUUGUGGAGUUUCAUAUUCUUGUGAUGCAUACUCAUCACGUGAGUACUCAUCAUUUGUCACAUUUUGUGGCGCGCAUGAAAGCUUCAUCAUCGAGACUACAAAUGCACAUACACACAAUCAACUACACAUUCUAUUGGAAUCGAUAAUUGGAACAACAAAGAAAUGCACAAGAUUUUUUUUACCUUUGCGACAUAUCACCGAACACGUUGGAUGCCGUAGCCAUCGGCGUGGACACAUCUUCCUCCAUGGCCGGCGGCGGCGUCGGAGGAGGUGGAUGAGGAGCAUCGUGGCCGGAUGAGGACGCCAUGGUCGCCGACAACUGCAAAACGACUGUCGAAACCGCAUCCGGCUUGGACAUUUUCGCCGGCCGACCUUGGUUACCCGCCAGGUUGCGGCCCUGCGCCGCUGGUCGCUUGACGCCUCCACUGCGAGGGCGCCCCCCUUCUUCUUUGCGGCCUCCAGAGUGACGGCGACCGUCCGGGGUGGGGCGAAUUGGCGCGGAGGCGACUGCCACGACGGCGGCAUGGGGGCGGAGGCGGCCGCGUUGGGGAUAGGUGGUGCGGAGGCGACGAGCACGGCGAGGUGGGUCAGGGCACCAGCGGCGGGGCCAUCGCCGUCGGCCAUGGCGGCGGCGGGAGGCGGGCGGGCGGGAGUCGGACGAUGGCUGGUCGCGCGAAAGGGGAUAGAAGUGGCAGUUGGGCGGUUGGCGGGUGGACGCGAUUUUACAUCUCCUGGAGUUGGAGAUGUAAAUUUGCACUGCGAAGUGGUAUAGUUUACAUCUUCGGGAGGCGGAGAUCCCAGAGAUGUAUCUUUUUUUUAACAUCUACAUCAUCUGUUGGAGUAUUGUUUUUGGCCUCUAAAGAUGCAAAAGUUAAUUAUUUUACAUCUACAUCACUUAUUGGAGAUGCUCCAAGAAGAUUAUCCCCCAAACUAAACUGUGUAGACAUCUGGAGCGUAGACAAUCCUUGAGACAAGGGUAUUACUGCCAAGACUGGAGGUGACGGGGACGCAAGACCCGGGAAGCAGGCCACCUCGUCACCGCUCCUUCCAUUGGUCCGCGCCCACGCACGCCGACAGUUUCCUGUCCUACCCCUCGUCGCUAGUCGUUGCUUGCUCCGAUUUUCCACCCACAAUCCGGGCCAAAACACCCGGGGAGCGAAGCAAGAAACCGAGGGCUCUCCUCCCAAGCGCGGAUCUACCAGCCUACCCCUACCAGGGCGCGGGCCGCGCGAGGCUCUGGCCUUCCGCUCCUCCAGCAUGAGGUAAGCUCCUGGCUCCACUCGCGGUGGCUCCUCUCCUCCCCCUUCGAUUCCAGCACUGCUGCAUAGAUAGCUUCGUCAGGCCAAUGGGGAAUUUUCGUUAAUAUACUAGCUCUAUGCGUGAAUGGUGUUCAUUUGACACCCAUCUCGACUUAAUUAGGCCAAGAUAGGGGAUUUUUCACUGAUUGUAUGCGUUACCCGGUCGAAUGAGGCUGGAUGGAGCAGGAUUAAUUAGUGGAUCAGGCUCUGUAUCCGCUGAAAGCAGAUGCGGAGAUGUGUAUCUGAGCAAUGCAUUCAGGUGCCCGAGGGAGCGACUCGGAUGUGCGUUUGGGGAAUGCCAUUUUGAUUGAUGGCCGGGGUGAAUCUGAUCCAGGGACGCCAGCCGCAAGCUCGAUCCCGUUGACCUUAGCCGUGCGGUCUGGUUGCCUGCUCCACUAAGUGCAAGCCACACGAAUCUGGUAGUGGUAUCUGUGAGGCUGCGCUCAGCUCCCUGCACCUGCAGAAUGCUAGAGAUUCAAGUGAGACAGAGGAACGUUAUCGUUGUCGAUCCGGUUCUCAGAUCCUUGAGUGAAACAGGGAUAUUCUUGUUCUUCCAUUGUCACUGCCUUCCCUUUUCGGAUUCUGAUGUAGCCUGAAAGCGAGGAUCUCAUGACAACCACCACCACGGCUGACUCUUGGUACCCCUGUGAGAUCACGUUAAGCACCAUGUGAUCGGCAUAUAUAGCUUUGUUUUUGAUGGAUUGGCCUGUUAACUAAUAGUACUAGGUCCUGAGUUUCAGUUCCAGGGGAGACACUUCGUUCGUUUAAACCAACUAGUAUAGCAGUUCAAAUACUCUACUUUGCAGUUUUGUGUGGAAAUCUUUGAAUGUUGCCUCAUCACACCCUUGCAGUUAGUGGCAAACUCACCUGAUAUAUUUGUAUAUAUCUAGUUCUGUUUUACAUAUGUAUUCCUCGGUUUUAUACGUAUAGUUUGAAGCAUGAAAAACAGGAACCCUUCUAGGUAUUAUGUCUACAAUUCCCAUGUGGUGUGAAUGCAAUUAACUUUCUGGAGCAUAGUUCAGUAUUCAUUCAUUACAACCGUUUCAUUGUAGAUCUUUUGCACCCAUCUGCCACGCCUCGAAACAUACUGUGCACAUGUGAGAUACCCUAUAGAUCCUUGCUAAGGACUUAAGGAGUGAAUUUAAGCUUAAUUGCACUGAUGAUGUGAAUAGUGGAUUGAAACAUGUCUAUUCUGUUGUGUCACAGAAAUAUCCCCAGGAUUCUGUUAGUGUCAUGUGGCAUCCAUCGGGGUAUAUGGAAUGUUUACCUAAUUAUUAUUCUGCCUUCUUUCAGGGGAAAAAAGAUGAUAUAUGGAUUCUCCAUCUCCCUUAUCCUCAUCAACCUGGCUUCCAUAAUGGAGCGGGCUGAUGAGAAUCUCCUCCCCGCUGUUUACAAGGAAGUCAGUGCCGCCUUCGAUGCUGGUCCCACUGAUCUGGGGUACCUUACGUUUAUUAUGAACUUUCUGAAGUCCAUAGCAUCUCCCUUGGCAGGUGUCCUUGCUCUUCAGUAUGACCGCCCCACUAUUCUUGCAAUCGGAACUGUCUUCUGGGCUCUAUCAACAGGGGCCGUUGGUGUCAGCCAGUACUUUCAGCAGGUUGCAUUCUGGAGAGGUGUAAAUGGUAUCGGACUUGCCAUUGUCAUACCAUCACUUCAGUCCUUCAUUGCUGAUAGCUACAGAGAGGGCACCCGUGGCGCCGGAUUUGGUUUGUUGAGCCUCAUUGGCUCAAUAGGUGGUAUAGGAGGAAGUAUUGUGGCAACAGUUAUGGCUGGAAGGGAUUAUUGGGGAUUUCCUGGAUGGCGGUUUGCAUUUAUUGUGGUCGCGUUUGCAAGCUUGUUGAUUGGGCUUCUUGUUUACUUUUACACCGUUGAUCCUAGAAAAACAUCUCCAGGAAAUUUUGGUGACGACGACACCAAUGAGAGGUAUGGUUUUCUUCAGAUUUUAGAUAAAUUCUUUGAUAGACAUUUAAUAGUACAAAUGUAUCAUGAAAGCGUAAUUAGCAUGUAUAGUAUUGUUGGUGAUCAAGUGCUGACAUUUUUUUUCUUCUGUUUUCAUAUCAAACAUUAUGCUUGCAACUUUUCUCAUUCAACUUCCUCUCAGCUCUAAACUAUCCAGCUGAGCUGGAAUUUUGAGGAAGUGUACCCUGUUUUCUUUUUCUAAGCUGAUGUGUUGGAUGACCACUUGAUUCUACAUUAACUUUCGAUGUAACAGUACGUGUAUCUGUCCUUAAAGCAUAAUGUUGCUAUCUCAUGUAAAUGGCAGGUCGCGUUUGGUUGGUAACAGUGUUUUCCCUCCACUGUCCAUCUGGAACGAUUCAUGGAUAACAGCAAGAUCUGUCAUGAAAGUGCGGACAUUUCAAAUCAUCGUCUUGCAAGGCAUAGUCGGCUCCUUGCCAUGGACUGCUGUCGUUUUCUUCACAAUGUGGUUUGAGCUAAUUGGUACGAGUACAAACCAACGGAUAUUUCCAAUAUUUGAAUUGACAAUAACUCCUUGCUGGAGUUAAACAUUAACAAAGUCUUGAAACCUCGUAGGUUUCGAUAACAAAAGCUCGGCGGGGUUAAACAGCCUAUUUGCCAUCGGCUGCGCGAGUGGAUCAUUUCUUGGUGGAGUAAUCGCAGACCGUGUGUCAAGACGCUACCCGGAUUCAGGUCGCAUCAUGUGUGCUCAGUUCAGUGCCUUCAUGGGCAUCCCUUUCACAUGGAUCCUCCUCACGGUCAUCCCGCAGUCAGUUGACUACUGGUACAGCUAUGCUGUCACGCUGUUCCUGAUGGGGCUCACCAUAAGCUGGUGCGCCACCUGCGCGAACAACCCGAUGUUCGCAGAGGUGGUCCCUCCCAAGCACCGCACCAUGAUCUACGCGUUCGACCGCGCGUUCGAGGGCUCCUUCUCGUCGCUGGCUGCUCCCGCUGUCGGCAUGGUGACCGAGAAGGUCUACGGUUACAACGCGAAGACUGUGAACCUGGCGGACGGGUCAGUGGCAGGGGCAUACGCACUCUCAAGAGGGCUGUUGACCAUGAUGAUCGUUCCAUUUGGUCUGUGCUGCCUGUUCUACACUCCGCUGUACUUCGUGUUCAAGCGUGACCGCGAGAACGCGAGGUUGGCGGCCAGCGCCAAGGAUCUGGAGCUAAUGUGAUGCUCGACGUUUUUUUUACCAGUUUGUUGUUUCAGUUGCAGUAUUCGUUAAUGCGGUUAGUUGAUUCAGUUUGGGGUUGAAAUGGUGCAGUUGACAGAAUACAGGUUUCACCUUCUUGAGACAGAUGAGAAGUACACCUUCAGACACAUGAAAAGAAAUACGUGAGUACACCUUCAGACAGAUGACAAGAAAUACACGGGUAGAGACAGUGAUUUUAAUUUUGCCAAUUAGAGAGGAUAUAUAUUGUACUAAAACAUUGUGUAGGUAAAUAAAUGGCAGCUGUCAUGUUCAAUCUCACCGCGCCUAGGAUUUAUUUUUCUUUUGUCUCCUGUAAUCCUGAACUGAAUUUUUAGAUGAAGAGGGCGUUGCCCCUGAUCCUGAACUAGUGAACUUGGUUAAGCAAGAGGAAUGAACAUUCAGUCGGACGACUGGAUUUGUAUUUGCCUCCGGCAUUAUGUUUUCUUGUGCAGAAGCUGCAUCAUUUGAGUUCAGACAACCAAAACAUGCAUCCACCACAACUUUGUAGUAUGGUUUCUCUUGAUACAAAUCGUGGGAGACCCUUUUCUCAAACAGAAAACUGCAAGAUGAACCUUUUUAUUUUUUGCGUGGGAAAAAGGAUGUACAACUGUUACGGCUAUAACAAAUGUAGGAUGCCCAUGCUUUCAAAUGGAGAAUAUCAGGCCUUGAACUAAGUAUUGAAGGCAUGCAGGACCAAAUUCAUACUAGUAUUUUAAAGAAUAUAAACUGGACAACUUUAAAACAUGUUUUGCUUCAUUCUCUACUUCAGGCAGAUGAACUGUAGAAUUAGAGAGCAUAAAUUUUAGGUAGAUGAAGAAAUGGCAACCAUCUCCUUUUAUUAUCCUGCCUAAACCUGCUUAGGAUCAGUGUAGUUUGUGGGGUAUUUCUCACGAGAGUUUUGGUAAAAAUACAACCUCUGAAAGAAAAAAGGAUAAUCAUUUCUUUUCAGAGCUCCGUUCCUCAUCCUUUUGUAACGCACACCACUCGUCUUUCAUCCAGUCCCACGCCCACGGCGCACAUGGCAAGCGCCUACCUCUCAAGCUUCCGGCAGGCCGCCCCCACCGCCACCAGCGGCGGCGCCGGCGCGUCACCGAGGCCGAGGCCAAGAGCGGUGGCAUGCCACGCCUCCGAGCCGUCGGGCACGGGCAGGCGUUCAGCUUGCCUCCGCCUCGGCAUCGGCCUCGCCACCGCCGCCAUGCCUGUGCUCCACACCGCGCCCGCCCGCUCCACCGCUGACGCCGACGAGGACCCGGAGCCGGCCAACAACGGCUGGUGGCUCACCGAGUUCCCCUUGCCGGUGCCCAAGAUCCGCAACAGUACGUACACGCCAACCUUCCCAUACACACUCCUACCAUAUAUAGCACCUCUAUCAUCCUCAAAGACUUUCAUGGCGCAGAGGAGAUCAACAAUGGCGAGUCGGGGACGCGGUCCUUCGUGAAGAACGGCAUCUACAUGGCCGACAUCGGGCCGAGCUUUGCGGCGCACGCCUACCGGAUACGCAGCUCCGCCUUCGACCUGCUGGCGCUGGAGGACCUGCUCGGCAAGGAGGCCUCCAACUACGUCAACAAGUACCUCCGCCUCAAGGCCACCUUCAUCUACUACGACUUCGACAAGCUCAUCACCGCCGCCGACCCUGACGCCAAGCCGCCGCUCCUCGGCCUCGCCAACCGCCUCUUCGACAGCUUCGAGAGGCUGCAGGCCGCCGUCACCACCAAGGACGACGCCGACAUCGGGUCCUGCUACGCUGAUACCAAGCUCAUCCUGCAGGAAGUCAUGACAAGAAUGGCCUAGCUGGCUAGCUUGCUCGCUAGGACAAACACUUCUUUAAUUUUCUCUGAAUGUACAUUUAGUAAUGAUACUGAGAAAUGCCAUGAUUUUAGUCAUGAACAAUUGCCAGAGAUACCACACAGUUAAUGGAAUGCUUCUUCCGAGCGAUUAGUCAGAGUUAAUUAUGUGAAUGCUCUGCGUUUUUUUUUUGAACAGUUCCAUGUUUCAGUUGCUGUGCUCGUUAACCAGUUAGAGUUGAUUCAGUUUGGACUUGAAGACAGAGUACAGGUUUCACCUUUUUCAGAUAGAUGUAAAGUACACGAAUACAGACCACCUUCUUCAGUUCGGACAGAGGAAAAGUACACAAGCUCAGACUGUGUCUUGUUGCUUUGCUGUCAAACUUUUGGUAAUUUUAACUACAUAUACUAAAUCUCCAAACAAAAUUACCCUUUACCCCUUACCCAAAUAACUCCAGGAUAUAUUUUCUGUUGUUGUCUGAAAACGUGGACCUAAGCAAGACUGCAAGAGAAACAUCCACACUGACCAAUGGUGAUACUAUUUGCAGAGGAUGUAACAGCUAUACUCAUCUGGUAUGGUACCUAAAGUAGCUCUAUUUGCAGAAUAACUCCAGUAUAUGUUGUUACAGUAAGUUCAGAGAAGCAUAGAGAAAGACAGGAUCGUAUGGAUUGACUUGCUCCUACAAACAGUUUCAAGUUCCAGCCUUCUUAAUUGCCUCUCUCCAAUCCAAAUUCAUAUCAAAACGGCAAAACCUUGCAUGACUACAGUCAAAGUACAGUUGCUUCGACCACUGAUUAAGCCCCAAACACCAUCCACACACAUCCUAGCAGCUAAUUAAGUACUAGUAGAAGUUUUGGAGAACUAAAUAAAGAACUAACCUGGCUACGGCUCUACUUGCUUCAUAGAGAAAGACAUGAUCAUACAGCUUGACUUACUCCUGCAACAUUUUGAUGUUUCACGUUCCAAUCCUUUUGAUUGCCUCUCCCCAACCCAGAUUUCAUAACAAAAAUACAAAAUAGUGCAUGAUUGCAGCUAAGGUAGCUCCGACCACAGCUCAGGGCAUCUCCAGCCGCGUCCCCAACAGGCCCUCCCCAAGCGAUUUUGCCGCGCCGGCGCCAAAAAAAGGCCCCAGUCGCGCCCCCAGAAGCCUGUUUUUCGCCGGCUCGGGCCAAAACUGGUGCCGGCGGACCCAGGCCGAACCCGGCGCCCUGGGGGGGCGCUUGGGGAGCCGGCGCAAGCGAAAAAGGCGCGUGGGCCCACCCUGGAAGCGACCCGAGGGUCUUUUCCCGCCAUUUCUUGACGCUUUUCCCUCGCAUCUCUCCCGCUCGCUCGCCUUCCUCCCGCCAUUCUAUCCCUUUCUCCCGCCAAACCCCCUCCCGCUCGCCGCGAAGAAGCACGCCAUGCCGCCGAAGAAGUACGCCAUGCCGCGCGCGGCGGCAACCGCGACUGGCGCCGUGGUCCAGCCGAAGCAGAGGAAGCCGAGGGCGCCGCCAUCGAAGCCACCGGGCCUGUCGAACGCCGAGUGGAGGGUGGAAGUUCAGCGGCGCGAAGAGGUCACCGCCGACAGGCGGAACAGGGCCAUAGCCAAGAAGGCCCGCGACAACGCGGCGCGCGCGGCGGCGUCUUCCUCAUCGGUCGACCAGGCGGGGAUGAAUCCACCCGUCGUCAGCCACGCCCAGUACGCGCCCUGGGGACAGCAAGGCGCCGGAUCUCCAUGGGGUUCAUCGUCGCCCGGCUACGCCGAUGGCGACGCGCACGGCGGGUUCAACCCAAACGUGACCUUCCCUCAUGGUCACCCCGCUACGCGCACGCCCUCGCCCGCCUUCGUCGGCGUGCAGUACCCUCCAUACAACUACUUGUCGCCCGCCUCCUACGCGUCCACACCGACGCCCCAUCUCUACCGCGGACCGCUACCCUUCUCGCACCUCGGCGACACCGACGACACGGGAGCCGACAUGGACGACAUCAUCGCGACAGGAUCGACCACGGCCGCCGAGUCUCCCGGGUUCGCCACCAAGGACGAGGUAGUGGACCUCAACGGUGACAUGGAGGCCGAGCUCGGCUACGUCUACGGCGACGACGCGCAGGAACCCGAGGAGGAGGAGGACGAGGAGGAGGAGGAGGAGGAGGAACCGGCUCCUGUUCCGACGAAGGGGCGCCAGAAGAAGAAGAAGCGGGCGGCUAGGUCAGGUGAACCGCGCAUCAAGUGGACGUCCAAGGAGGAGGAAUGCCUCGCCGAAGCAUGGAAAGUCGUCUGCCUCGACCCGACCACCGGCGCGAACCAGAGCUUGGACACGUACCGGGACCGCAUCAAGGCCGAGUUCGACGAGCGGAAACUCGUCGACCCCUACUUCAAAGGCGUGUACAUGCAGCGCGGCUCCAAGGCGAUGGCGAACCAUUGGGGGCGUAUCCAGUUGGCGUGCAACAAAUGGCAUGGAAUCGUCGAGGAGGUCGCGGCUCGCCCGGAGAGCGGUGCCAGCAUUGAGGAUCAGGUACGCACGCCGUUCGCCCGCAUAUCUUCGUCCCCUACGCCCGCCGCCCGCCAACUGUUUGUCUCUCCGCGCAGCUGCUGCAUAUGUUCGCCAUGUAUCGGGGCGACAACCAAGACGCCGACUUCAAGCACCUCCACAUCUACAAGCGCAUUGACAAGUGCGAGAAGUGGGCGGAAGUCCGGCGUGCCCUCGACAAGGCCAAGGAGACAUACAAGCCAGACGCGACGACUCCGGGCGCGUCAGAGGGACGGCCGGACGGCCACAAGUUGGCAAAGAAGGGGAAAAGCGCCGACGCGGCAACCACGCGAGUGCAGGAGUCCAUCGAGCAUUGCCUCGCCGACGCCCAGGCCCGGGCCGUCCUACGCGAAGAGAAGACCGAGGCGCGGUGGUCGUCGCUUAUGAAGAACAACGCCAUCAAGCUCGACCUGCUCCGGACGAACGUCGCCGCGAAGAAGAGGAACACCGACAUGGCUUUUCUGAUGAGCGGGGCGGACAUGCUCGAGAGCAACGACGAGAAGCUCAAGGCGUAGUACCUGGUGCAGCGCGGACUCAUCCUGAACGAGCUGCCGACGGCAACGCCGACGACGCCGAUGACGCCCACGACCACAUGGACGCCAAGCCCGGACGGCGCCUCUACAUCGCCGCCCAGCAGUGCCGAAGCCGCGCCGACGCAGCCCUGCGACGAAGCAGGUCCGACACCGACGAGCCCGCGCACGCCGACUCCGCCAACGCCUGGAGCCGACCAAGCCGAGUGAAUCGUUGCACACGGCGGCCCUCUGUUUUUUGUAACGCCAGACUACGUCCGAUCGCCGGAUUUGCGGCGUCUUUUGAGAGCGGGAACGACCAAGUUUGAAUUUCCCGCAUUCUGGGGCCGGUGCGUAGGGGCGUGACUGGGAGCUAGGUCGCCCCAGGGGCCGAACUAGCGCCGGCACGCCCCAAGGCCGCUCUAUUUAGGCGCCCUGGGGGGCCGAACGGCUGGAGAUGCCCUCAGGCCCAGUACAAUGCUAGACAUGCAUCACAUUCCCUGAAGAACUAUCUACUCAUAUGAUCAUAUCUACUUAACCGAAGAACUGCCGGCCACGGCUCUAAUUAAAAGAAGCAAGCUUGUUGGAGCUUGAGAUUCAUCAAGCGGCCUCAACCUGGGCCUGGAAGAGAGGCACGUACUGUCCAUUGGCGUCGUACGAGUGUGAGCGGUGCCAAACCCUGAGGAUCUCGACGGGGACGACGCUGGUGGAGCCAUACUCGUCGUAGUAGUCGAUGCGGAGCUCGUGGGGGAUCUCUCGAGGGUGCUCCAGCUCAAGGACGACGCGGACGGUGGCGAGGUCCGGCGCCGCGUAGCAGGCCGGAUCGAUCUCGCGCACGUACCCGAAUCUGCAGCAGUUGCUCUUGAUCCACUCCACCGUGCGCUGCUCGAUCGGGUAGUCGCGCAGGGCGGCGUGCACGAUGUAGUCGUUCGAGGCGCGCCGGACGCCGGGGGUCUCCUCAUCGCGCAGGAGCUUCACGGUGACGCCGUCGAGCACGAAGGGCUGCCGCCCCAGGGCCGCCUCCCGGAAGUCGGGCGUGCGGAACCUCACGGUCGCGUCGGCGCCGCGGGCGGGCGGGAGCAGCUCGAAGUUCUGCGGCAGGUCGAGGGCGAGGGUGCGGAAGACGCGGCGGAUGAAGGGCCCCGGUUUGGCGCGGCACGGGGCCUCCGGCGGGGUGAUGUAGGCGUACGCGAGGCGCCGCGCGUAGUACUCCGCCUCGGGGUCGGCGGUGAAGUUGAGGUACGCCUUGAUUCUUGUGGCCCGGGGUUCCGUGAGCAUCUCCGGCGGCAGGUAGACCGCGGUGGCGGCCGGAGGGAUGUUGCCAUAGGACGGGCGGGUUACGAAGGCGGGGCGGUCGGAGGGUGUAGGGAUCUCCAGCGCCGUCGCCCCGGGCGGCAAGGUGCGGUCGGCGCCGGCCGCCAGCAUCUUUUUCUGGUGGAGAAGGCAGUGGCGGCGCCUGGGUGGAAGCGCUAGGAAUUGCUGUCGCUAUAACGCAUCAUUCCUGUACUGUCAAACCAGUCCAGCGUCAAAGAAAAUUUAACCAAACUAGUGAGUAACUUUAUUUAUGUCCCUAUUACAAUGUUCGAACCUAGCUAUAUAGUAAAAUCACAAACAAGAUGGUAGCGAUCGUCGAAAAUCAUGGCAGCAACCCUCGAGUAAUGAUCACUCAUCUUCAUCUUUUUAAUGACCUCCAAAUUGUCAGAAUUAAUAACGAGAGAUUGCAUUAUAUCCUUUGCGCAAGGGCAAUACAGAAUAUGAGCGCCAAAACGUCAACCAUUAGGGCAUCCUCACAGUCGUCGAUUUUUUCAUUCCCUCCAGCGAUGAAGUUUCCUUUAUCGUCCCUUAAAACCGCCCCAUCGUACCCCUAAGCAAGUCUUGAUCAAAUGAAGCGUCAAGGUUAAAUUUGACAAAAGCCCUAGGCGAAGAUUAAUCCCUGUUUUCUCAUGGUAGCCUUUGGAUAGGACGACGGUAACAUAGUUUGCGGUAAUGGUGUGAGUCCCCGUAGUAACCUGAAAAGGAUCUUGAACUACCCCUUCAAGAACCAACUUAUGGCUUACCCACUAUAAAUACCAAACCGUAAUGGUGAUCAUCUCCCAAGCUUCCAGAAGGCCCAAGCUGGAUAAAUCCUGGCCUGGCAAUUGAAGUAAGAAUUUCAGGACUGCCUCACCAGCAUGGUCAACCUCACAGACUCUAUUAAUAAUUUGGUCAAUUCCUGGCCUUUUCCAAACAUCCCUAGCAAUAUUACCAUAGAAACAACAAGUGUUUUGUAUCCUCUGGACCAGCUGAACAAGGGGGACAUUUGGGGAAAACUUUCAGGUGUCUAUUGGCAAGAGUGACACGAUACAACAAGGUACCAUACAACAUAUGCCAAUUUUUUUUUUAACCUUUGCCGGACAAGAAAGCUUCCAGAUGUUACACCAAAUGGGGUUAAGAGUGGAGCGUCCCAUUCCAUUUGUGUGUUGUAGUUUCCUCCCAUGUUGGUGAUUCCACACAAAGUAAGCUGACCGGAUUGAAAACAACACAUCCUUUGUGUAACUCAAAGUGACAAAGUCAUCCAUGUAAAAAAUUAAAUAAACAGAAAAUGAUUCUCCAAAAAAACCGUUAGGAAAAACUAGCAGUGCCUGCUCGAAAAAUAACCGUCUACCAUUUUUUGACAGAUUUGAAAAAGUCAAUCAAUUAAAAAAUGCACUCUUCCAAGUACAAAUAUUAGAGUGUGGACUGACAAUUGGAUUCCGAGAAGGCUCUUUCGUGACCACGCGUUCCAACGCGCGAUCCACUUGGUGCCAUUGAUUGGCAUGCAAAGUGUACACAGAAAAGGUGCCGUUAGUUGAUCACAAGUUACUAAUAAAUAUUUUUAUUGAAAUCUUCUAAUUAAUCCCUCGACCAACCGUAGAUGCUGCUACUGAGAAACAUCGCAUGCAUAUGCAACUUCACAGGGUUAGUUAGGUCCAUGAAGCCAUCUGAAAUCUUCAGUUCCGCGGUAUGAUAUCUAUCGAUUUCUCUACAACUCAUUUGAUCAAUGUUCUUGGUAUCAAUCCAACACUAACCUCUCAAGAAGAUGUUCACUAACACAGCAGAAUUCUUAUCAUAUUUGCAAGUAUCAAAUUUGACCUUUAUCCAUAACUGUAAGCUUUUGACAUUCCUUUCUUGGUACCUUGCAGGUUUAGUUACUAUUUUCAAAUAAGUGGCAUCUAGCGACCCAUCUUUCAGGGAGUAUCUUUGAACCAAUAAACCUUGGGGGGCUUCAACAUCUUUCAGGACAUUGUGGGGUUUAUUUUGGGUCCGAAGAGUGUGUACAUAGAGAUUGACACAUUUAUGAUCCAACUUACAAUUUGUGUUAUGACAAAAGAAUCUUGCUGCGAGCAUUUAUAUUUGAGGAGAUGUUCUCGAGAAAUCUCCACCUUUUAAUUUUACUACUAUUUUGUUGGUUACAUGUAUGAAGCUAAGUAAUAACUUCUUGGUCUCUUGGAGUUUGAAUGGCCUUUUGCUGCUCAUGCUUAACUGAACUAUGCAACAUGGUUAUAUUGCCGUUUCUUUGUCACUAUCAUGGUUCGCACUGCAGCAAUGUUGAGGUAUUGUAAUAUAUUUUUGUUUUUUUUCAACAAUAAACUACGUUAAUGUAAACCUCUAAUACCAUUUAUUUUGCAGUGGGUUGCUACGAGUUAUUCCUUUUACCAAGGGAUCCUAGAUUGAGUGAUUUACCUGAUGUUAUUCAAUUUUAUGGUCUUUUCACUAUAUUCAGAAGCGGACUCUGCCGGAACUGUUCCAUUUCUUGGGCUAUAUUUCUAUCUUCACUCACGUUCUAGAUUGUGCUUUCUAACAUCUUAUUAUUUUAGGAACUUACAAUUAACUUCUUCAAACCGUCAUGAUUGCAAGUUUGUUGAUGUUCUGUUGAUGGUGAUGUUGCUUAAUGUAGAGGAUGCUUCAGGAUUGCCUAUUUUCCAACAAAUAAUGCACUACAUUCAGUGCCGGACUACAAAAAAUAUGGCUUCUACUUCUAACUACAACUACUAUAGUUUAAUAUACAAUUUAUAUUUACAAUACAAAUAUCAUUUCAUGGAAAUGUACUGUCUUAUAACUGAUUCCUACUAUUCUCAUCUUUUUGACGUGGAUUUUACUUUGAAAAUACACAACAGAUUCCCGCAGCAACGCGCGGGGUAUCAUCUAGUUGUACUAAAUGCACUGUGUAGAUAAGUAAAUAAACCUGCUCAGGGUCAGUGUAGUUUGGGAGUAUUUCUCAAGAGAGUUUUGGUAACAAAAGACAUUAAAAGUUAACUUUUAUUAGCUCAGAAAUAGUUAAUAAAUGACCAAUCAAAGAUUGCACCUUGAAAUUUCAACCUAACCAUACUAUUAUAUAUUUGAAGAAAUGUGAACAGGAUUUGAAGUUUGCAUCAAUUUGGUUUUGACUAGUGUCACCUCACCUCUAGUUGUAACUAGAUAUUACUAAAACUCCCAAUAGAGGAAAAGAAGAGGAAAACCUAGAUUUUUUGGCACUAUUCAUGCCUUCAGUUCAAAGGAAUGGGGCUAUUGAAAAAUAAGGAACUUUUCCUUUAAUCUUAGUUUCAAUGGGAAAAAAAGUAGGAAUUCUAACAUCCACUUGGAUCUCCUUUUCAAAUUCCUAUACAUGAAGAACGAGACCAAGAUGCCUAGUGGCAUAAUAGCAUUCUAACUAUACGAUUUCAUGUGGUUGACAUUGAUUUGAGUAUGUUUCGUAGGAUUCUUAUGUUUUUCCAAUCCAUGUGAACUAAACACUCAAGUUCACCAAUUCUCUGUUUUGUGCAUGCAUUCCUAUUCAUGUUCAUAUGUUUUCCCUAUUCUCGAGUUAGAAUUCUCCAAACCAAAGGCCCUAAGGUUUUUUUUUUGAUGAAAUUUUUUGUAUCUAGGGGAACCAUUGAUAUCAAGAGUAAGAAGUGCAGGAGAGCAAGAGAUACAAGCCUAAGGAUGCCCAUGCCACCCCUAAUUUGUUUCCAAGAGGAUUCAAAAGGCUAAUGCUCAUGGAGUUUCCCGAUAUAGCAUCACCUAAUAUCUAGUUUUUUUUAAAACCUGUGCUAAACCACCAAAAAAAUUGCAAAAUAUUUUUCUCAUAUCAUGUACUCCCUCCGUUCCUAAAUAUAAGUCUUUUUAGAGGUUUCAAAUGGACUACAAUAUACGUAUGUAUAUCGACAUACUUUAGAGUGUAGAUUCACUCAUUUUGCUCUGUAUGUAGUCACUUGUUGAAAUCUCUAAAAAAAACCUUAUAUUUGGGAACGAAGGGAGUAUUAAUGACAUACAUUUCAGAGAUGUGCACUAAUGCAAGUCAUGAGAGGCCAUUAACCUGGAUUAAUCCUACAAUAACCGCCUGCCCGAACAAGGAGUCCCGACACAACCUGCCAGAGAAAAAGGGCCAGUCGACCGAUGCCACAACCAUGCGGGCUAUACAAACGCGUUCACGGUAAACCUUUUAUUGGUAGUUUCAUUUUUCGAGCAGUCUGACAAAUAGAUUAAAAAAAUCCAGUGCCAUUUAUUUUCAUUUGGAACACUGUUUUUUUUGGGAAUGGAACGCUGAAACUUAAUUGGCACUCCCUCGUCCGGAAAUACUUGACAUCAAAAUGAAUAAAAGAAGAUGUAUUUAGACGUAUUUUAGUUCUAAAUACAUCCUUUUUUAUCCAUUUUGAUGACAAGUAUUUUCGGACGGAGGGAGUAGAAAAUAACGGAAUAGUUUCUCUAGAAUUCCAGCAAAGAAAAUGACAAAAUUGGAUAGCAUCGGCCUGGCCCCGGCUAUUGAUUUGGGCCGUUGGUUGGGCUCUCAGAAUUGCAUUAGGCCCGUUUUUUGAGGCUCUUCCUUCCUCCCGCCCGUGUUGUUCCCUCCAAAACCAACCGACGACCAACCGCAGAAGGAAUCUCUCUGCUUCGAUCGGUUGCAGCGGGACGGGAGACGCUCUCCUCUGCUGUCGUCGACUAUAUAGCUAGCCUCCCUCGCCUCGCCUCGCCUUCCUCCUCUCCUAUCCGCCCUCUCCCUCUCUUCUUCAUCUGGGGUAGUGCGCCGUGCGCCAGCGGUUCUUGGGCGAGAUGGCGGACAAGGGGAAGGGGAAAGCCGACGCCCGCUAUAAGCCAUGGCAGCGGCGGCGUCACGGUGCAGCGGGGACGGAGACUGAAGCCGUCGACGACACUGCCGGUACUUCGUCGCGGACUUCAGGGCGGACGGAGACUGCCGGCGGCGGCGGGACUCAGCAGGAGCUUCCACCCGGCGUCUCUUACCAGUUCAGUGGAGGUAGGUGCCCAAGAAACCGGCGUCCUUGGUUCUUGCGUUGGUGCCCGCUUCUUGGAUUGUAACAUCCGAUGCCUUUGUUUCUUGCAGCUCCCGGUGGCGGGGGCGGGACGGGGCUCUCUCAGUCGCAAUUGAGGAUACCUACGACGACGACGACGGUACAGCAGCCGCUGAGCAAUCAAGGUGCGUUCUCUCCCCUCCCAAGAAAAUGGCAAAAUUCUUUCUCUCUGCUUGUCCGUGCGCUUCUUGGUUCUUGACUGACGCCGGAGUUGGAUUUCUUGGUUUCUGUUGUGUAAUUGUGGUUGCAGCCCGUGGGAGUGCGCCCUUCGGCGGCCAGAACCAGAUCGCCAACCCACAGUUCGCUGGAGGUGGCGGCGGGGGUGGGUCAGGGGCGGGGUACGGGGGAUUCUCUCAGUUUGGUGUGUUCCCUCCCUCCCAAGUCCCAACCCAUUCUUGAUUUCUGUUGCGCAAAACUCUUUCUCUCCGGUUCAUCAUUGACGCCGGCCGGAGUUGGAUUUCUUGGUUUCUGUUGCGUAAUUCUCUCUGUUGCAGCCGGUGGAGAAUAAGGCUUGUUGUAUUCUAGUAAUAACAUGUGUGAGGAAUUAAACCUUGGUUUGUUGCAGCUCACGGGCACGGGGGAUUCUCUCAGAUGUAUUCGAGGCCACCGGCGGCGAUGCUCCAGCCGACUCUGGGCAAUAAUCCAGAUCCAGGUGCGUUCCGCUCCCAAGAAAAGCGCCAAAUUCCGUGUCUCUGGUUCGUGCGCGCGGUUCAUGGUUCGUUGACGUCCGACAUUGAUUUCUUGGUCUGUAAUUCUUUUGUAGCCUACACCGGGGAGGCUUCCACGGUACGGGAGUGCAGUAUUUGCAAAACGCCCACAGCAGGGCUGUGGACCGCGGCGACCGUGCAAGGUACACGGGUGGGAACCCCGCUGCCUUUGUGCGAUGCUUGCCACAGCAAAAUCUUCAGCUGGGACAGGCCUCUACAGCAUCUGCACCGAUAUCUUGCCACUACAGGUGGGUUGGGUAGCAUCGUGCUCGGUUCUUGCGCGCGUUGCCUGGGUGCCGGAUUGUUUGUACUAACAGCUAGCGGUUUCUUGCAGCUGUGGGUCGCGGCGCCGGGUCGAUACAUUCGUUUCUUACAGCUAUCGGUCGCGCCGGCGGGUGGGAUCAGGGGGACUUGGUUCUGGCGAUGAGGUUGCUCCCGCGGCCGCCGGGCGAUCAAGGUGCGUUCCCUUCCAUCCCAAGAAAUUCUCUCUCUCUCUCUGGGCUCUGGCCCAGUGGGCAGUGGCCCGUGCGUUCCUUGGUUCUUCACUGACGCCGGAGUUGGAUUUCUGUUGUGUGAUUCCUCUGUUGCAGCCGGUGGGAGUGCGCCCUUCUUCGGCAUCGACGUGCCGAGCGGCUACGUUUUCUUCUCCGGCGGCCAGAACCAGAUCGCCAGUUCCGACGGCGACGGGGUAAUUUUAAUUCAAUUUGCGAUGCAUUAUAUUAGUCACCAACUCACGAGUCACGACUGAUUGAUUUCUUCUCGGCUCUGUCUUUGCACCGGCACAGUCUGCAAUGAGCCCAUGGUGCGUUGUUUGCAACAAUGCCGCGGGCACGCUUUGGGACUGCCUGCCCAUCUGCGAGGCUUGCUACCACACGGCUCGCUACAACAGGGAGGUCUACAGGGCUCGCAUGCAGAUCGGCAAUGCCAGUGCGGCUCAGGCUCAGGCUCGGGCUGACGCUCAGGCUCUCAAGGAUCAGGCUUAUCAGGCUAUGGCUCAGGCUCUGGCUCUGGCUCAGGAGCAGGCUCUGGUUCAGAAGGCUCAGAAGGCUCAGCCUCAGCCUCAGGCUCUGGUUCAGAAGGCUCAGAAGGCUCAGGCUCAGGGUAUUGCCAUUGAUCAGCAGCGGCCAUUGAUCACGCUCUACCCCCGCCACGCCCCGCGACCAAGUGGAUGCCGUUAUUGCGGAUAUCGUCAUUGCGGGCUGCAGCCCACGUGCGAGACUUGCUGUAGAUUGAUGAAACUAUAAACUUGAGUAGAUCCAUCGAUGAAACUAUAAACUUGAGUAGAUCGACGAAACUAUACAUAUACUUGUAGGACUUGAUUCCUUGCCACUUAGUAGAUGAAACUAUACUUUGCUGGGGAUCGAUGGCAUUCAGUUCAGGGUGCAGUCUGACGCUUUAGUUUUGCCUGCCUUAUUUUAACUGGUUUUUGGCUCUUUGUGUUUGAUUCAUUUACUUUCAGUUCAACCAUAUGACUACUUAGAGUUUAGUUCCUACUACUGUUUACGUGUCCAGUUUACGCUUUUAUCUUUCUGGCCAAUACUACAUAUAACAGAUGUUAUCAGUCCUUUUAUAUCUUCCUGACGCUUUUAUCGUCGGUAAAUGAUUUGGCGUGUAGAAUAGGCUGUGGAUGCUUUGGUUUCCUGACGCUUUAGUUUUGCCUCAAGUGUUUGACUUUUGGUUCAACCAAAUGAGUAAUCAGAGUUUAGUUGCUACUGUUCUGGUGUACGCUUAUGAGUGAUGAUUAUUGUAAAUUCUAGUAAUAUGCUAUGGCCAAUAUAUAUAACAGAUUCAGUGCUGCAUAUGCUUGUCGUUCAUAAGUGAUUCAGCAUGGAGAAUAAUUAUGGCUGUGAAUGCUUUGGUUUUGCCUCGUAUGUUCGGCUGGUUUAAUUUCAGUUAAACCGAAUGAGUGCUCCAAUAAUUUAGUUUCAGUUGUCAGGACACUAGUUCUCUUUACUACAUGUCUCUGAACACACCUGAAGAAAUCGACACCUUCUCUGAAGAAUUCGACAGCAACCUGGGAGACGGGCGGCUAGGAGGCGCUCCAGCUAUGAAACAUCAACACCUCUAUGCUUGUGCUUGUUUAGAUACAGACUUGUGCUUGUUUCCUUGUCAGUGCUAUGGCAUCAGUAAAUAAAACUAUAUAUAUCCGUUAGUCUUUGGUUCUUUUCCGACUCUUCAAUUUUGCCUCAAGUGUUCGACUGGUUCAGUUUCAGUUCAACCAAAUGAGUGAGCUUCCUUGCUACUGAUUAUUCAGCUUAAGCUUACAUUUUACAAGUGAUCAUCAUUGCAAAUUCUUAUACUAGUUCUCUCAAACUCCCGUCUCUGAACAUAGCUGAAGAAAUUCUUAUACAAGUAUCAAGGCGCGAACCGGUUCAGUUAACUGAAAUUUUCUUCUUUUUCGGGGUAACAACGGCUACAGUUAACUGAAGUUUAACUGUUGUAAACUUCAGUUAACUCUGUUUCACUGCGUGUAAUUUCAGUUCCUCCUAUGCGUAUCCAUCGCCAUGAACUGUAUCCAGUGACUUUGAUCUGCUAUAUCUGCAAUACAUCUUCCGUCGACAUCUGCACGUGAUCAGGAACUGAUGCCUCCCAGCUAACGUUACGUGUACGUCCUGGCGAUUGGAAUGGCGACUCGGAUGGCGUCGAGCGGGCGACGGGAGUCGGCGCCGGCUGGGAGCUGGUGGGACAAGGCCCGAGGGCAGCGCUUGCUUGCCCGCCCCUAUGGUCGCGCCCCGGGACGGGGGUGGCGGCAGCGCGGAGCCGGUUCUCGGCCCUUGCCGGCGAGGAGUCUGAUUCAGAGGGCUAGGCGGACUCCAAUCCGUCUUCCCCGAGGGCGCACCCAGCUGGCCAAGGAUUCACGGUAUGUAAUUUCGUGGUGCGUGCCGCGGAGCUGGGAGGAGCGGUGUUCGCUGGCCGCUGGAGUUUUGCGCCGGGAGGGUGUCAGCUACCUGAAGACUGAACCCAAGUGUCACCUAAAUUCAGUUAUCUGUAGCGUAUCGGUUGGGCUAUACAGUUAACUGUCAUCGCACGGCUCGGAUGAAGGAAGAGGAGAUCAACGGCUGGAUAGAGACUACAUGGCGUUUAACUGACAUACGUCACAUUUCCGUUUUAUUUAGUUUUUACCUUCACCUGCUCACUGUGAGCCCCCGCUGCGUGCGAGAGGGCAUCCAAUGUACAUAUCUGCUUAUCAGACCCUAGCUUUGCCCUUUCAUAGCUACAGUAGAACUUCCCCCAUUAAUCGAAGGGCCUCCGAUUCGGGAGUUUAUCUAAAUCCUAGUUCGUGUUUGUGUGUUUGAUCUUGUCAAUCCUCAGUAGGAUCUGACAAAUUGGUAUUAGAUGUUAUCAGUCCUCGCAGGAGCGGCGGAGGUGUUGAAAACAAUGGCGUGAAGGCGGCGGUAGAAAAAUUUGGGCACAUGCUGGUAGCUUAGGUAUGGUUGCUGGCGAGCCUCUCCCAUGGCGGUAAAAAACCGCGACCCAAGCGAGUCCGUGUGCUAACGGCGGAGAGGAGCGCUGGUGGCGGCUGUGACUUGAGAUCUCUCGAGGGUUCUAAAGCUUGUGCUUGCGGUGAAAUUCCGGAGCAAAAUCUCAGUCCAAAUGUUGAAAUCGUAGGGUGAUGACAAGGCAGACGCGUCCGAGGUCGUAACCAUGAAGCUGGACAUGGAUCAAUUGGACGAAAAGGUGGAUGACGUUCUUCAAACUGAAAUGGAGGGCAUACGCCUCGAAGUCGCGGAGCUUAAGAAGCAGUUGACACGCUUGGAGGAAUUGAUGUUGCAGAUGGAUGAGAGGUUGAGCGCAUCUCCUCAAGCUAGACAGGAAAACGAAAGAGAGAAGGAUGCACAGAAUCAGCAACACCAACCCCAACUCACUCCCAACGACCACAACAACCACCUCUUAAGUGCACUCAAGGCAGCCAGGUGAGCACCAUUCUCCACUGUUGGACAGAGGCACACCAGUGUGGCGGCGCAGAGGGCACGAACACAUGAUGCAAACUGCUGACUGGGGAGAAACACAACCAGAAACCCACCCCUAACAACGUUCAUCAUAACGUGGAUCAACAAGGUCACUACUUCCCUUCAUAGGAGGACAAUGGGUUGCAAGGACACUACCAGGUGUUUUAUGAUCAAACACAAUUCAGAGAAUACCAACAUCAUGCACUACACCAAACACCAAGACCCAUGGCACCUCCUCCCCAAUAUUGUCCGCCACCUUCAUAUUACCAACCUGAAUACCAAUAGUGCAAUCAAAAGGAAAUACAUCAGCAAUAAAUACUACUAUCAGCCUGCUAUGCAACCCCAACAAUAAUAUUUUCAUUUUCAAGGAAUUAAUGCAUCCAGGCCCAGAAGGCCAGAACCAGGCCUGGUUGUGCACCAACAAGCAGGCCACCAGUUCCAAACACCCAGGCAAGGUCAAUACCUUGAUCAGAGCAGAGGCCAUCAUGCCAAGACAAAGAAGCUCAGUUCUACAGAUCCGUUGCAAAAGCUCACAAAUUUGAAUUUCCUAGAUUUGAUGGUAGCAACCCCGUAGAAUGGCUGAGAACUACUGAGAAAAUUUUCUCAUUAGUAUAUGUGCCCGAGGAGGCCAAAUGGGAUUAUGCCCAGAUGUAUCUAGCUGGCAGAGCUGACAUAUGGCUAAGGAAUUCUGGCAUAUUGGAGGAAAAUCUUACUUGGGAACAAUUAUUUAAAGUGGUAGUCAGAAGAUUUUUAGGUGAUAGCUCUUAUGAAGUAGUGGAAAACUUCAGUUCUACUAUUAAAUAAGCAUCCACUUCUGUCUCUGAGUACACUAACGAAUUUGAAGAAAAGAUGUCUUCAUAAAAAAAGGAGAACCCGAGAAUUAUUGAAGGUUAUUAUGUCAAAUUUUGUAUCAAUGGGCUGAAGCUAGAAAUAAAAGACUACCUGAAACCCUUCAAACCACAGACACUAUACGAUGCAGUGGAAAUGGCUAGAGACAUGGAAAUGGGAGUACAGGCCCAAUGUACAUAGAGGAAAUUCUCCUCUUUCACUGGAUUUCAGAAAAAUUCCAGUCUGUGAGAAUUGCUGUAACGUCGUACCUAUCCUAGUAGCGACGGCUCCAUGUUAUAUAGCAGGGGCCGACUCCCUGAUAAGGCAUACAAUCUUGGAGUACAAGGAAAAAAGAGAUAGAGAUAGAUCAUGUGGUUGGAAGAAGAUAUACUAGAUACUAACAACCUAUUCAAACUAACUCUAUCUCAAGAUACGUGCAUUAUGACUACACGUCCUUGUUACAAUCAUACACGCAUAUAUGAGUUUAACAGCCUUCCUUAAUCACAACUUGGUCAUGUUGAGAUUAUGCUUGAACUCCUCAAAACUUCUUGUAGGUAGUGCCUUGGUGAAACCAUCUGCAACUUGAUCUCUGGAGUGUAUAAACCAAAUUUCCAACUGCUUGUUAGCAACUCGUUCUCUGACGAAGUGGAAAUCUAUCUCAAUGUGUUUUGUCCGUGCAUGAAAGACUGGAUUGGCAGAUAAAUAAGUAGCACCAAGGUUAUCACACCACAAACAAGGAGGCUGAAUGCAUUUUAUACCUAGUUCUUUCAGCAUGGACUGCAUCCAGAUUAUUUCCGCUGUUGCAUUUGCCAACGCCUUGUACUCUGCUUUUGUACUUGACCCGGAAACUGUGGCUUGCUUCUUUGCACACUAAGAUAUCAAGUUGGGUCCAAAAAAUAUAGCAAAUCCACCAGUGGAACGUCUAUCAUCUAAGCAUCCUGCCCAGUCAGAAUCUGAGAAAGCACUGACAAGAGUAGAUGAAGACUUACUGAAAGUAAGACCAAUGCCCAAAGUAUGCUUCACAUAUCUAACUAUACGCUUGGCAGCUGUCCAAUGCAUAGUUGUAGGAGCAUGAAGAAACUGACAUACUUUGUUAACAGCAAAGGAUAUAUCUGGCCUUGUGAGAGUCAAGUAAUGAAGAGCACCUACCAAGCUUCUGUAGUUGGUGCUGUCCUCUUAAUUCAAUAGGUCUCCUUCUGUAAGGGAUAGUUUUUCUGAGCUGGAUAAUGGAGUUGGUGAUGGUUUACGUCCUUGCAAGCCAGCUCUUCUGACCAGAUCAGUUGCAUAUUUUUCCCGAGACAGAUAAAGUGUAUCUCCAUGCCUUUUCACCUCAAUGCCUAGGAAGAAAUGCAAGUCUCCUAGAUCCUUAAGAGCAAACUCAGAACUCAGAUCUUUUAACAGUCCUGCUAUUGCAUCAUUAGAUGAACUAGUAACAAUAAUAUCAUCCACAUAAAUAAGCACAAAUAUUGAUGUAUUUGACUUAUUAUAAAUAAACAGUGAUGUGUCAGACUUGGAAGAAACAAAACCAAGUGAUUGCAGCUUAUGACUGAGUCGUGAGUAUCACGCUCUAGGAGCUUGCUUCAGACCAUAAAUGGCUUUAUCAAGUUUGUAGACAUGAUGAGGCAAGUUUUUGUUCUCAAACCCAGGAGGUUGUUUCAUAUAGACUUCCUCUUCCAGAACACCAUGAAGGAACGUGUUCUGUACAUCUAGCUGUCGAAGACUCCAUUCCCUGGAAAUAGCAAUGGACAACACAAGACGAAUAGUGGCAGCCUUUACAACCGGACUAAAUGUGUCCUCAUAGUCAAUGCCAUAUCUUUGUUUGAAGCCUUUUGCAACCAGUCUAGCUUUAUACCGGUCUAUAGGUCCAUCAGACUUUUUCUUAAUUCUGAAAACCCACUUGCAAUCAAUCAAAUUUUUACCUUGCCGUGGGGGAACUAGAUGCCACAUUUUAUUUUUCAGGAGAGCUAUAUGCUCUUCCUCCAUAACUUUUCUCCACCGUGUAUCACCAAGUGCCUCUUGCAGAUUAUUAGGUUCACCUGUGGAGCAUGCCAAGCCAAACUUAGUUUUAUAAUUAACUUGCUGAAUUACCCCUUUUUGAAGUCGUGUCCGUGGCACAGGAUGAGAUGCAGCAGGUAUGGCCACAGAAGAUUGGGCUGACGCUCCCCCUGGCACAACUGAUCCCGAUGCAGAUUCGGCUGCAUGGAUCAGGGUGGCCGAGGGAUCUUCUGUGGCGCCGGGCGGCUGCACGGUUGAACAAGAGGGCACGGAAGAUCCGGGUCCGUCCGCUGGCACCCCAUCAUGGUGUUGGAAAUAUGCCCUAGAGGCAAUAAUAAAAUGGUUAUUAUUGUAUUUCCUUGUUCAUGAUAAUUGUCUAUUGUUCAUGCUAUAAUUGUAUUAACUGGAAACCGUAAUACAUGUGUGAAUAUAUAGACCACAACAUGUCCCUAGUGAGCCUGUAGUUGACUACCUCGUUGAUCGAUAGAUGGUUAUGGUUUCCUGACCAUGGACAUUGGAUGUCAUUGAUAACGGGAUCACAUCAUUAGGAGAAUGAUGUGAUGGACAAGACCCAAUCCUAAGCAUAGCACAAGAUCAUGUAGUUCGUUUGCUAAAGCUUUUCUAGUGUCAAGUAUCAUUUCCUUAGACCAUGAGAUUGUGUAACUCCCGGAUACCGUAGGAGUGCUUUGGGUGUACCAAACGUCACAACGUAACUGGGUGACUAUAAAUGUGCACUACAGGUAUCUCUGAAAGUGUCUGUUGGGUUGGCACGAAUCGAGACUGGGAUUUGUCACCCCGUAUGACGGAGAGGUAUCUCUGGGCCCACUCGGUAAUGCAUCAUCAUAAUGAGCUCAAUGUGACUAAGUAGUUAGUCACGGGAUCAUGCAUUACGGAACGAGUAAAGUGACUUGCCGGUAACGAGAUUGAACGAGGUAUUGGCACACCGACGAUCGAAUCUCGGGCAAGUAACAUACCGAUUGACAAAGGGAAUUCUAUACGGGAUUGAUUGAAUCCCCGACAUCGUGGUUCAUCCGAUGAGAUCAUCGUGGAACAUGUGGGAGCCAACAUGGGUAUCCAGAUCCCGUUGUUGGUUACUGGCCAGAGAGUUGUCUCAGUCAUGUCUGCAUGAUUCCCGAACCCGUAGGGUCUACACACUUAAGGUUCGAUGACGCUAGGGUUAUAAGGGAAGUUUGUAUGUGGUUACCGACUAUUGUUAGGAGUCCCGGAUGAGAUCCCGGAUGUCACGAGGAGUUCCGGAAUGGUCCGGAGGUAAAGAUUUAUAUAUGGGAAGUCCAGUUCCAGUCACCGGAAUAGUUUCGGGGGUUAUCGGUAUUGUACCGGGACCACCGAAAGGUGUCCGAAGGUCCACCGGGUGGGGCCACCUGCUCCGGGGGACUUGAUGGGCUGAAUAUGGGAGGGAACCAGCCCCUAGUGGGCUGGUGCGCCCCUCCUCAAGGGCCCGAGGCGCCAUGGGAUCUAGAGGGGCCGGCCCCCUCUCCCCUUCCCCUACAUAUAGUGGGGGUUUUGGGGGUGCAAAGGACAUGAGUUUUCCUCUCUCCUGGCGCAGCCCUACCCCUCUCCCUCCUCGUCUCUCGGGUGCUUGGCGAAGCCCUGCUGGAGUGCCACGCUCUUCCAUCACCACCACGCUGUUGUGCUGCUGCUGGACGGAGUCUUCCCCAACCUCUCCCUCUCUCCUUGCUGGAUCAAGGCGCGGGAGACAUCACCGGGCUGCACGUGUGUUGAACGCGGAGGCACCGUUGUUCGGUGCUUAGAUCGGAUUCGGCCGUGAUCUGAAUCGCUUCGUGAACGACUCCACCGACCAUGUUCCUGCAACGCUUCCGCAUAGCGAUCUUCAAGGGUAUGAAGAUACACUCCCCUCUCUCUUGUUGCUAGAAUCUCCAUAGAUUGAUCUUGGUGAUGCGUAGAAAAUUUUGAAUUUCUGCUACGUUCCCCAACAGUGGCAUCAUGAGCUAGGUCUAUUGUGUAUAUUCUAUGCAUGAGUAGAACACAAGUAGUUGUGGGCGUUGAUUUUGUUCAAUAUGCUUACCGUUACCAGUCCUAUCUUGUUUCGACGAUAUUGUGGGAUGAAGCGGCCCGGACCGACCUUACAUGUACACUUACGUGAGACAGAUUCCACUGACUGACAUGCACUUGUUGCAUAAGGUGGCUAGCGGGUGCCAGUCUCUCCCACUUUAGUCGGAUCGGAUUCGAUGAAAAGGGUCCUUAUGAAGGGUCAAUAGCAAUUGGCAUAUCACGUUGUGGUUUUGGCAUAGGUAAGAAACGUUCUUGCUAGAAACCUAUAGCAGCCACGUAAAAAUUUGCAACAACAAUUAGAGGACAUCUAACUUGUUUUUGCAGCAUAUGCCGUGUGAUGUGAUAUGGACAAAAAAGGAUGUGAUGAAUGAAAUAUAUGUGUUGUAUGAGAUUGAUCAUGUUCUUGUAAUAGGAAUUACGACUUGCAUGUCAGAUGAGUAUGACAACCGGCAGGAGCCAUAGGAGUUUUCUUUAUUUAUUGUAUGACCUGCGUGUCACUGAAUAACGCCAUGUAAUUACUUUACUUAUUGCUAAACCGUUAGCCAUAAGUAGUAGAAGUAAUAGUUGGCGAGACAACUUCAUGGAGACACGAUGAUGGAGAUCAUGAUGAUGGAGAUCAUGGUGUCAUGCCGGUGACGAUGAUGAUCAUGGCGCCCCGAAGAUGGAGAUCAAAAGGAGCAAAAUGAUAUUGGCCAUAUCAUGUCACUAUUUGAUUGCAUGUGAUGUUUAUCAUGUUUUUGCAUCUUAUUUGCUUAGAACGACGGUAGUAAAUAAGAUGAUCCCUCACUAAAAUUUCAAGCAAGUGUUCCCCCUAACUGUGCACCGUUGCGAAGGUUUGUUGUUUCGAAGCACCACGUGAUGAUCAGGUGUGGUAGAUUCUAACGUUCGCAUAUAACGGGUGUAAGCUAGAUUUACACACGCGAAACACUUAGGUUGACUUGAUGAGCCUAGCAUGUACAGACAUGGCCUCGGAACACAAGAGACCGAAAGGUCGAGCAUGAGUCGUAUAGUAGAUACGAUCAACAUGAAGAUGUUCACCGAUGAUGACUAGUCCGUCUCACGUGAUGAUCGGACACGGCCUAGUUGACUCGGAUCAUGUAUCACUUAGAUGACUAGAGGGAUGUCUAUCUGAGUGUGAGUUCAUCAAAUAAUUUGAUUAGAUGAACUUAAUUAUCCUGAACAUAGUCAAAAGGUCUUCGCAAAUUAUGUCGUAGCUCGCGUUUUAGUUCUACUGUUUUAGAUAUGUUCCUAGAGAAAAUUUUGUUGAAAGUUGAUAGUAGCAAUUAUGCGGACUGGGUCCGUAAACUGAGGAUUGUCCUCAUUGCUGCGCAGAAGGCUUAUGUUCUUAAUGCACCGCUCGAUGUGCUGAACCUCAAACGUUGUCCGUGGAUGUUGCGAACAUCUGACAUACACGUUUUGAUGACUACGUGAUAGUUCAGUAAUGUUAAACGGUUUAGAAUUGAGGCACCGAAGACGUUUUUGAAACAUCACGGAACAUAUGAGAUGUUUCGAGGGCUGAAAUUGGGAUUUCAGGCUCGUGCCCACGUCAAGAGGUAUAAGACCUUCGACGAGUUUCUUAGCCUACAAACUAAGGGAGAAAAGCUCAAUCGUUGAGCUUGUACUCAGAUUGUCUGGGUACAACAAUCACUUGAAUCGAGUGGGAAUUAAUCUUCCAGAUGAGACAGUAAUGUUUCUCCAAAGUUAUUGCCACCAAGCUGCUAGAGCUUCGUGAUGAACUAUAACAUAUCAGGGAUAGAUAUGAUGAUCCUUGAAAUAUUCACGAUGUUUGACACCGCGAAAGUAGAAAUCAAGAAGGAGCAUCAAUCGUUGAUGGUUAGUGAAACCACUAGUUUCAAGAAGGGCAAGGGCAAGAAGGGAUACUUCAUGAAACAGCAAAUCAGUUGCUGCUUUAGUAAAGAAACCCAAGGUUGAACCCAAACCCGAGACUAAGUGCUUCUGUAAUGAGGGGAACGGUCACUGAAGCAAAACCACCCUAGAUACUUGGUAGAUGAGAAGGCUGGCAAGGUCACAACAACAACAACAACAACAACAACAACAACAACAACAACAACAACAAUAACAAAGCCUUUAGUCCCAAACAAGUUGGGGUAGGCUAGAGGUGAAACCCAUAAGAUCUCGCAACCAACUCAUGGCUCUGGCACAUGGAUAGCAAGCUUCCACACACCCCUGUCCAUAGCUAGCUCUUUGUCGAUACUCCAAUCCUUCAGGUCUCUCUUAAUGGGCUCCUCCCAUGUCAAAUUCGGUCGACCCCGCCCUCUCUUGACAUUCUCCGCACGCUUUAGCCGUCCGCUAUGCACUGGAGCUUCUGGAGGCCCGCGCUGAAUAUGCCCAAACCAUCUCAAACAAUGUUGGACAAGCUUCUCCUCAAUUGGUGCUACCCCAACUCUAUCUCGUAUAUCAUCAUUCCGAACUCGAUCCUUCCUCGUGUGGCCACACAUCCAUCUCAACAUACGCAUCUCCGCCACACCUAACUAUUGAACAUGUCGCCUUUUAGUCGGCCAACACUCCGCGCCAUACAACAUUGCGGGUCGAACCGCCAUCCUGUAGAACUUGCCUUUUAGCUUUUGCGGCACUCUCUUGUCACAGAGAAUGCCAGAAGCUUGGCGCCACUUCAUCCAUCUGGCUUUGAUUUGAUGGUUCACAUCUUCAUCAAUACCCCCAUCCUCCUACAACAUUGACCCCAAAUAUCGAAAGGUGUCCUUCCGAGGUACCACCUGGCCAUCAAGGCUAACCUCCUCCUCCUCACACCUUGUAGUACUGAAACCGCACAUCAUGUACUCAGUUUAAGUUCUACUAAGCCUAAGCCCUUUCGAUUCCAAGGUUUGUCUCCAUAACUAUAACUUCCUAUUUACCCCCGUCCGACUAUCGUCAACUAGCACCACAUCAUCCACAAAGAGCAUACACCAUGGGAUAUCUCCUUGUAUACCCCUUGUGACCUCAUCCAUCACUAAUGCAAAAAGAUAAGGGCUCAAAGCUGACCCCUGAUGCAGUCCUAUCUUAAUCGGGUAGUCAUCGAUGUCGACAUCACUUGUUUGAACACUUGUCACAACAUUAUUGUACAUGUCCUUGAUGAGGGUAAUGUACUUUGCUGGGUGUAGGACCUUGAAGUAUGUCUAGAGGGGGGGUGAUUAGACUACUUGACCAAUUAAAAACUUAGCCUUCUCCCAAUUUUAGAGUUUGGCAGAUUUUAGCUAUCUUAGGACAAGUCAAGCAAUCAUCACACAAUUCAAGCAAGCAUGCAAAGAGUAUAUAGGCAGCGGAAAUUAAAGCAUGCAACUUGCAAGAAAGUAAAGGGAAGGGUUUGGAGGAUUCAAACGCAAGUGGAGACACGGAUGUUUUUGGCGUGGUUCCGAUAGGUGGUGCUAUCGUACAUCCACGUUGAUGGAGACUUCAACCCACGAAGGGUAACGGUUGCGCGAGUCCACGGAGGGCUCCACCCACGAAGGGUCCACGAAGAAGCAACCUUGUCUGUCCCACCAUGGCCGUCGCCCACGAAGGACUUGCCUCACUAGCGGUAGAUCUUCACGAAGUAGGCAAUCUCCUUGCCCUUACAAACUCCUUGGUUCAACUCCACAAUCUUGUAGGAGGCUCCCAAGUGACACCUAGCCAAUCUAGGAGACACCACUCUCCAUGAAGUAACAAAUGGUGCGUUGAUGAUGAACUCCUUGCUCUUGUGCUUCAAAUGAUAGUCUCCCCAACACUCAACUCUCUCUCAUAGGUUUUGGAUCUGGUGGAAAGAAGAUUUGAGUGGAAAGCAACUUGGGGAAGGCUAGAGAUCAAGAUUCAUAUGGUAGGAAUGGAAUAUCUUGGCCUCAACACAUGAGUAGGUGGUUCUCUCUCAGAAAUGGUAAGUUGUAAGUGUAGGUUUGUUCUGAUGGGUCUCUCCACGAAUGAAGAGGAGGUGGAGGGGUAUAUAUAGCCUCCACACAAAAUCUAACCAUUACACACAAUUUACCAAACUCGGUGGGACCGAAUCAUCAAACUCGGUGGGACCGAUUCAGUAAACCUAGUGACCGUUAGGAUUUUCGGUAGGACCGAAAUGCAACUCGGUAAGACCGAUAUGGUUAGGGUUAGGGCAUAACGUAAUCCCGGUAAGACCGAUUACACAAUCUCGGUGAGACCGAUUUUGGUAAUAAGCUAACCAGAGAGUUGGCCAGGUAAACUGGGUGGGACCGAUUUGCUCUUUUCGGUGAGAUCGAAAUGUUACAAAAGGGAAACAGAGAGUUUACAUUGCAAUCUUGGUGGGACCGAUCGCUCACUUCGGUUAGACCGAAACGUUACGAAGGGAAACAGAGAGAUUACAAUCCCAUCUCGGUGAGACCGAGAUCCCUAUCGGUAGGACCGAUUUGCCUAGGGUUUGUGGCAGUGGCUAUGACAUUAGAACUCGAUGGUGCCGGAUAGGAAGAAUUGGUGUGACCGAUUUUGGCUUUAGGUUUAGGUCAUUUGUGGAUGUGGAAAAGUAGUUGAGGGUUUUUGGAGCAUAUCACCAAGCACAUGAAGCAAGAGGCUCAUUAAGAAACACCUCAUCCCUCCUUGAUAGUAUUGGCUUUUCCUAUAGACUCAAUGUGAUCUUGGAUCACUAAAAUGUAAAAUGAAGAGUCUUGAGCUUUUGAGCUUGAGCCAAUCCUUUGUCAUUAGUAUUUUGAGGGAUCCACUUUCAUCAUCCAUGCCAUGCCAUUCAUUGAGCUUUCCUGAAAUAAUAGUCUUGGAAUAGCAUUAGCUCAAUGAUCUAUAUGUUGUUAUGAAUUACCAAAACCACCUAGGGAUAGUUGCACUUUCAAUCUCCCCCUUUUUGGUAAUUGAUGACAACAUAUAGAUCAAAGCUUCAGCAAAUGAUAAUAAUAUUGAAAAACAUCCUCGCUUUGAGAAGUAUGUGGUAAGCAAGAGCUCCCCCUAAAUUUGUGCAUAGUUUAAGAUUUGCUUUGGACUGAAAAUGCACAAGGAAUUAGGCUCAUGGGUUACUCUUCCAUGUCACAUACAUCUUGGUGGAGCGCUCAAAAUGAUAAAGAUUGAAUACAUGCACUCAUCACCAAGCAAAGUGAAUGAUCACAUAUGGAUAGAUAAGAUAAUAUCAUCAAACAUGCGUAAGUGUAGCUUAUGAUCAAACACAUGAUCAUCAAUGUCUCACAAAAACAACAUAGUAUCUCAAGCAAUCAAAAGCAAACAAAGUUUAACCACCAAAGCAAGAGAGAACAAAAGCAACACUCUCUCUCUCGAAGCCUAUGAUCUAUACAUUUUUCUCCCCCUUUGGCAACAAGUUACCAAAAAGUUCAUAGAAAAUGCAUAGUGCUAGAUCGACUCUCAGGCUUGAUCUUCAGGUGGUGGUGUCCGGAGAACUCCAAGAAUGAAGGCUUCAGUUGAAGUAGAGGGAGCUGGAGGAGUUGGUGCUGGAGCUGAUUGCACUGGAGCUGUAGGAGCUGUAGCUGGUGCAGAUGAUGUGGCUCUGGUGUCUGUCACAGGCACUGUAGUUAACCUCUGAGCUCUAGGUACUCUGGCAAAUACAUUAGUGGUAGUCUUGCCCUUCCUCUCCUGCAUGUCAUCCUGUAGCUGCUCCACAACUGACUGAAUCUCAGUUACUUUGACAUAUAGAUCAUAGAAUUUUUGUUCCAUGAUUCUUUCCAAGCUCGCCUGGUUUUGAGUUAGGGUGGCCAACCCCUUCUCAAUCCUCAGUGUUGAUGCUAUCAAGUAACCAAGCUGCUCCUGCUUGUUCUUCAGAAAGUACUCAGAUGCCUCCUCUUGAGUUGGCAUCUUGGCAGCCUUCUCUUUCCUUGCCUUCUCCUUCUUCUCUUGAGCUUGUACUGAUGAUGGUUCAUUCUCAGUCAUGACAACCUGAUUGUCCUCAAAGUCUGGAUAAAGAAGAAAAUGUUCCUUAUCCAAUAGAUAUUUUCCUGUGCCCAUCUUUGAGUUAAUCAACUCUUGAAUCUGAGGGGCAUAUCCACAGCUUCUCUUUUGAUCUGCUGCUGUCCUCUUAAUAGUCUCAACCAUAAGGCUCAUGACCUUGAAUUUCUGUGGCACAUCAAACAAAUGCAACAUGUUGAUUGCAUGCCCUCUAAUCAUGUUGUGGUCACCAGACUUAGGCAACAUAGUGUGCCUUAGGAUCCCAUUGAUUGUAGGCAGCCCUGACAGAAGAAAAUGGACUAAUCCAAAGGAGAAAGUCUCUAGAGCUUUGUCUGGGAUCUCCUUGUACAUAUGUGCCAUGGUAUUGUGUCCCAUUUUCUUCUUGGCAUAGACAUCCAAGUCAUCUUCACUCUCCUUGGGGGCAUUGAUCAGUUUUUCCCACUCCUCAAUGGUUGACUGGUACCUCAUACCUUCUGACAUCCACACUAUUCUGCCAUCUGGAUAGAAGUGUGCUGUGGAGUAGAAUUGCAUAAUGAGUUCAUCAUUCCAGUUGGUGAGCUUCUGCCCAACAAAAUCUGCAACUCCACAAGCUUCAAAACUGUCAUACACUCCAAGAUAGUGUUCUUCAUUUUCCUUCAUGUAGGUCCAGUCGACCCACCUCAUAUCACACACUAUGGGCUUCUUGUCCAACAAAAUUCUCUCAUAGAAGUCCUGUUGUUCCUUUGUGUGGAACCUGUAAUCAACAGCAGUCCUUCUCCUUGUGGCAUAUGGAUCUUUCAUCCUCCAUAGCCUCAACCCUGAGUCUCUUCUAAUGUUCAUGUCCUCAGCCACAGGAUGGGCAUCAUUAUGGUCUGGUAUCUUGGGCUUGAGCUUCCUGAGGACUUGUCCUUCUUCAUCUUCCUCAUCAGCAACUUCAGACACUAGGGCCUUGUUCUUCUCAGCAGCUGGAAUACUCCUGGUAUUCCUCUUUGGUGCAAGCUUGGGCUUGGGGGCAGCUUUGGGUGCUUCCUUGGGCUUUGAUGUUGCAGCCCCUGACUUAAUUGCAUCACCCAUAAGCUUUUGUGCCUUGGGUGCUGGUGCAGCAACCUCUUCUUCCUCUUCCAUCAUGGAAGGUUGCCCAACAACUCUGGCUAUGGUCUUUUUGACCCUUUCUUUCCUUUUCUUUCCUUCUAUAGCAGGCUCUUUGGAUUGGGAUUCCAAAGGAAUUUGAGUGGAGACUCUGGCUUUGGACAUUGGUUGUCUUCCUGCAGGCCUUUUAAUUUCAUGCCUGGCUUUACUGCAGUUGAGCUGAACUUCUUCUUGAGCUCUACUUUCUUGGAAGUAGCCUUAUCCUCUUCUGCUCUAUAAUCCUCAUCCUCACAAUCUGAGGUUCUCUUCUUCCUUGUCCUGGUGGCAGCUUUAGGCAGGUUGCGUGGGGUGCUCCUGCUGCCUUCAUCUGAAGUGCUAGAGGGACUAGUGCCCUCACUCAUGUGCAUCUGCUCUUCUGACCUGUUCUGACUAUCACUUUGGCCUGACAUGCUGCAAAUCACUGACUGCUAACCCUGUGAAGAGUUAUAGAUGAGAUAGAGUGGAUGAGCAUCACAAAAUGCAGAGAUUUUUGCAAAAGAAUGAUUCAAAAAUUCAGUUUUAGUUUUCCACAGAAAGCAUUUCGAAUCAACCGAUUUUCAAACUCGGUGAUACCGAAGCAGUUUUGGAACCUAAACUGAUGAACUCAGUUGGACCGAGUCACAGUUCGGUGGCACCGAGACUGCUAGGGUUUCACAAAGUCCUAAAAUCGGUCUCACCGAUUAGCAAUUCUCGAUCAGACCGAGAGUUACUAGUGCAAUGGCAUUAGCCAAAUCGGUGGGACUGAGUUUUUCAACUCGGUGGGUCUGAGAUGGUUUCGGCGGAAAACUAACCCUAAAUUUUGAAAUAUCAUCUAAUCUAAGGAUUGCAUUGACUGAAUAGGAGUGUUUCAAUCGUGGCAAGAAUCAUUAAGAACACAAUGUGCUAGGAAUCGGACGAGGAUAGCACUGUGAUCGAGUCCAUACCCUAGCUUGGCGAUGAACUCGCUACGGCGGCAACGGCGGGGGUGAAAUCCGUUGACGGCGGUGGAGACCAGCAACAGGAGGCGGCUGGCGACGAGGAGACGAUCCGGAGACCCUGAUGGCAGAGCGAGCUAUUGCGCGGGUGAAGAGGUUCGGAGAAAUUUCCAAAUUUUUGCCCGUGACUAUAUAUAGCCCGACCCUGUCGGUGUGACUGAGUGGAACAACUCGGUGGCACCGAGAUGCAUAACUGUGUACAGUUACAGCAACUCGGUGUGACCGAAAAGUUCAAAUCGGUUGCACCGAGAUUGAAAACCUAGAUUGACUUAGUGAUCUCGGUGGGACCGGAAUGGAGGAAUCGGUCAGACCGAGAAUCACAAUGAAGUUUUGGAAGUUUAAGUCUAUGACGAAUCGGGGACUCCGAGUGCUCCUCACACAGGUGGUUCGAAUCUGACUUGAUCAAAUUUUGUGAUGUAGCAUGAAUAGAGUUUGAGACGAGAAAAGCAUAGAUAGCUAGAGAAGGUUCUUAGGCAUUCUUGUCCAUCCACUUGGCAAAAAGAAAAAGAACCAAAUAAUCAAAGCAACAAGUGGAUGUCCUCGAAUGAGUAAAAUAUGCACCAACAUGCUCACACAAUAAGAUGGCAAAUGAAAUAUGUGGCAAAACAUGCACAACCAAUUCUAGCAUCUAUCAAAACAAUUGGCGAUGACUAGGUCAUCUAUAUAUGAGUAUAUUGACUUAGGAGUCAAAUGAAAACAUUUGAUCAUAGGUCAUACUCAUCGUUUAAGCUCAAGUGGGGUUACCACUUUUACAUAAUGCAUUGAUGUGUUCACACCAUUAGAGUUGCUUUGACUCAAUUCUUAGAGUUAAGCUCCCCCUAGAUGUGAGAUCCCCUUUUAGAGGGAUGAACUAACCUUGGGUUUUGUCGAUGAUGACUUCAUGUAGGUGUUGAAAAUGUGGAUGCUCAAGGUUGAUGUAGAUCAUUUGGACCAAUCCUUUGGAGUGAGUUGCACUUUCAACAUACCUACAUGGGUUAGUCCCACAAGGAACAAACAAGAAUAUCCAUAGACAUAGAGUGAUGCACACACAAGAUAAUGUCCAUGAAAUCAUUUGGUUACCUUGUCCCUUGCCUUACCAACAUGAGGGUUUGUGACUCCUUGAACUAGUGCAAGAUGUGGAAGUUGAUUGCACUUGUUGUUGCCAAAAAUAUAUGAGUGAAGAAUGUUGGCGGAGUCACCCUCAAGAACUCUCUAGUUCUUCUUCUUCGGGAUCCACAUCAUCUUGAUGGGAAUCCUUGGAGUUGUAGUUGUACUUGAUGAAGUAGAACUUGACAUAGUCUUGGGAACCCACUUGACCAAGGCCUUAGGUGCUUCUUCAAAUGCAUCAAUCUCUUCUUGAAGCUUGUCCUUGCCUUUGUUCUUGUGAUCUUGUGGUGGAAGAUCAUCUUGUGCUUGUGUUCCUUUGAAGGAAGUAGGAUCAUACUUCUCUUGUUGAGGAACAAACUUCGUCUUGGGGUAUUGAUCUUCUUCCCACUCAACUCCAUUGGCAUUGAACUUUCGUUCAAAACCAACACCUUGAUUCUUUCGGUGCCUUCCUUGCUUGCGUACAAUUUCCUCGAAUUGCUUACUCCCGGCAAGGCUCUUGUAAACACCUUUCUCUAUAAUUCCAUUCAAUAAGCUAUUUUCUUGCUCAAAUGUAACUUGGCUAAGAGAAUCAUUAGUGGAAUCAAGAGAACUACUAGAAGCAACAAUAUUGGAUUUGACAUUAUUAUUGUUACUACUAGAGGAAGUAUCUUUCUUGUACUUGUUACUAGACUUGACUUGAGGCAUGUAAGUAGAUAAGAGUAAACGCUUGGCAAUGUAAGAAGAACUUUUGUUGCGGAGAUCAUCAUUGAUUGCUUUUAAGAACUCAUGCUCUUGCUCAAGAUUGAGCUUUUCAAAGCGUAACUUCUCAUGAGCCCUUAAAAGUUCUCGAUGAUCUUCGAAGAUAGUUUCAUGAGCCAACUUAAGAGUGUUUAGUUCUUUAGUUAGAAGCUCAAUCUUCUCCUUAUCAUUGUCAUUCGUUUUAUCUUGAUUAGCAUGAUUAGUUGACGUUUCAUCGUAGUAUUCAUCACUAGAGUUGUCAACAAGUAAAUCAUCAUCCACAAGCAAGUCAUCUUCAUCACUAUUGAAAUCAACAUACUCGAGAUGUGUUACCUUUGGACCUUUGGCCAUGAAGCAUAUUCCAAUUCCUUCAUUUGGUGAGUCAAAUAUGUCGUAGGAGUUGGUUGACACAAGUGCUAGACCGGCAACACCUUCAUCUUGAGUAUAUUCGGAGUCAGAGUGAUAGCUUCUCUCGGAGUGAUGGUCGGAGUCGGAACCGGAUACCCAUUCACCAACGUGAGCUUGAUGUCUUCGUUUUGUGUAGAUCCUUGAUGACUUGUCCUUCCUUUCCGAAUCCUUGCUUCUCCGUGAGGGUCUUCGUUCAUAACGAUCAUCUCUACUCCUCCUCUCUCUUGGUGGUGAUUCUUCUCUUUUGCUUCUUAUUUUUGGAGAAUCUUCUCUUCUUUUGUAGGGUGUCGUACACUCAUUGGAAUAGUGUCCGGGUCUCCCACAAUUGUAGCAAUUUCGCUCUCGACUAGAAGAUUUUUUUGUCAUUGUAAGACCUUGACUUGGAGCUUCUUUCUUUGCUUCUACUCUUGUAGAAUUUGUUGAGGUUCUUCACCAUUAAGCUCAAUUCUUCGUUGAAGGUUUGUUUCUCACUUGAUGACGUGGGGGCUUCACAUGAGGCUUUGUAAGCACCACUUGACUUGUUGUGAAGUUCCUCCUUAUCCUUAAGUGACAUCUCAUGAGCAACAAUUCUUCCAAUGACUUCCGUUGGCUUGAGAUCUUUGUAGUUUGGCAUCAUUUGGAUCAAGGUGCACACGGUAUCAUACUUUCCAUCCAAUGCUCUUAGGAUCUUCUUGAUGAUGAAUCUGUCGGUCAUCUCUUCACUCCCUAAGCCAGCAAUCUCAUUUGUGAUAAGUGCAAGCCUAGAGUACAUUUCAGCGACACCUUCACCAUCCUUCAUUUUGAACUUGUCAAGCUGACUUUGGAGCACAUCCAACUUGGAUUCCUUGACGAAGUCGGUACCUUCAUGCAUAUCAAUCAAAGUAUCCCAAAUUUCCUUUGCAUUCUCAAGAUAGCUGAUUUUGUUGAAUUCUUCGGGGCACAAUCCGUUGAAGAUGAUAUCACAAGCUUGAGCGUUGUACUGUAACAUCUUCAAUUCUUCCGCAUUAGCUUCACGGUUCGGCUCUCUCCCAUCAAAGAAUUCACCUUGCAAGCCAAUACAAAUAAUUGCCCAAACGACGGGGUUAUGUCCGAGAAUAUGCAUUUUCAUCUUAUGCUUCCAACUAGCAAAAUUAGUACCAUCAAAGUAAGGACCUCUACGGUGAUAAUUUCCCUCACUAGACGCCAUACUCUCCUAGGUUGUGAAACCAAGGCUAUGACCACCAAAAGCUAUGUAAAUCAAAGCAAAUGGAGACCAAAGCUCUGAUACCACUUGUAGGACCUUGAAUUAUGUCUAGAGGGGGGUGAUUAGACUACUUGACCAAUUAAAAACUUAGCCUUUUCUCAAUUUUAGAGUUUGGCAGAUUUUAGCUAUCUUAGGACAAGUCAAGCAAUCAUCACACAAUUCAAGCAAGCAUGCAAAGAGUAUAUAGGCAGCGGAAAUUAAAGCAUGCAACUUGCAAGAAAGUAAAGGAAAGGGUUUGGAGGAUUCAAACGCAAGUGGAUACACGGAUGUUUUUGGCGUGGUUCCGAUAGGUGGUGCUAUCGUACAUCCACGUUGAUGGAGACUUCAACCCACGAAGGGUAACGGUUGCGCGAGUCCACGGAGGGCUCCACCCACGAAGGGUCCACGAAGAAGCAACCUUGUCUGUCCCACCAUGGCCGUCGCCCACGAAGGACUUGCCUCACUAGCGGUAGAUCUUCACAAAGUAGGCGAUCUCCUUGCCCUUACAAACUCCUUGGUUCAACUCCACAAUCUUGUCGGAGGCUCCCAAGUGACACCUAGCCAAUCUAGGAGACACCACUCUCCAAGAAGUAACAAAUGGUGCGUUGAUGAUGAACUCCUUGCUAUUGUGCUUAAAAUGAUAGUCUCCCCAACACUCAACUCUCUUUGAUAGGUUUUGGAUCUGGUGGAAAGAAGAUUUGAGUGGAAAGCAACUUGGGGAAGGCUAGAGAUCAAGAUUCAUAUGGUAGGAAUGGAAUAUCUUGGCCUCAACACAUGAGUAGGUGGUUCUCUCUCAGAAAUGGUAAGUUGGAAGUGUAGGUUUGUUCUGAUGGCUCUCUCCACGAAUGAAGAGGAGGUGGAGGGGUAUAUAUAGCCUCCACACAAAAUCUAACCAUUACACACAAUUUACCAAACUCGGUGGGACCGAAUCAUCAAACUCGGUCGGACCGAUUCAGUAAACCUAGUGACCGUUAGGAUUUUUGGUGGGACCGAAAUGCAACUCGGUAAGACCGAUAUGGUUAGGGUUAGGGCAUAAUGUAAUCUCAGUAAGACUGAUUACACAAUCUCGGUGAGACCGAUUUUGGCAAUAAGCUAACUAGAGAGUUGGUCAGGUAAACUCGGUGGGACCGAUUUGCUCUUUUCGGUGAGACUGAAAUGUUACAAAAGGGAAACACAGAGUUUACAUUGCAAUCUCGGUGGGACCUAUCGCUCACUUCGGUUAGACCGAAACGUUACGAAGGGAAACAGAGAGAUUACAAUCCCAUCUCGGUGAGACCGAGAUCCCUAUCGGUAGGACCGAUUUGCCUAGGGUUUGUGGCAGUGUCUAUGACAUUAGAACUCAAUGGCGACGGAUAAGAAGAAUUGGUGUGACCGAUUUUGGCUUUAGGUUUAGGUCAUCUGUGGAUGUGGAAAAGUAGUUGACGGUUUUUGGAGCAUAUCACCAAGCACAUGAAGCAAGAGGCUCAUUAAGCAACACCUCAUCCCUCCUUGAUAGUAUUGGCUUUUCCUAUAGACUCAAUGUGAUCUUGGAUCACUAAAAUGUAAAAUGAGGAGUCUUGAGCUUUUGAGCUUGAGCCAAUCCUUUGUCAUUAGUAUUUUGAGGGAUCCACUUUCAUCAUCCAUGCCAUGCCAUUCAUUGAGCUUUCCUGAAAUAAUAGUCUUGGAAUAGCAUUAGCUCAAUGAGCUAUAUGUUGUUAUGAAUUACCCAAACCACCUAGGGAUAGUUGCACUUUCACUGGGACUUUGUGUUUAUCCAAGGCCCACCACAUGACAUUCCGCGGUAUCUUAUCAUAGGCCUUCUCCAAGUCAAUGAACACCAUAUGCAAGUCCUUAUUUUGCUCCCUAUAUCUCUCCAUAAGUUGUCGUACCAAGAAAAUGGCUUCCGUGGUCGACCUCCCAGGCAUGAAACCAAACUGAUUUUUGGUCACGCUUGUCAUUCUUCUUAAGCGGUGCUCAAUGACUCUCUCCCAUAGCUUCAUUGUAUGGCUCAUCAGCUUAAUUCCACGGUAAUUAGUACAACUCUGAACAUCCCCCUUGUUCUUGAAGAUUGGUACCAAUAUACUCCGUCUCCAUUCUUCUGGCAUCUUGUUUGCCCGAAAAAUGAGGUUGAAAAGCUUGGUUAGCCAUACUAUCGCUAUGUCCCCGAGACCUUUCCACACCUCAAUGGGGAUACAAUCAGGGCCCAUCGCCUUGCCUCCUUUUAUCCUUUUUAAAGCCUCCUUCACCUCAGACUCCUGGAUGCGCCGCACAAAACGCAUGAUGGUCUCAUCAAAGGAGUCGUCCAGUUCAAUGGUAGAACUCUCAUUCUCCCCAUUGAACAGCUUGUCGAAGUACUCCCGCCAUCUAUGCUUAAUCUCUUCAUCCUUCACCAACAGUUGGCCUGCUCCGUCCUUGAUGCAUUUGACUUGGCCAAUAUCCCUCGUCUUCCUCUCCCGGAUCUUAGCCAUCUUAUAGAUGUCCCUUUCACCUUCCUUCGCGCCUAACCGUUGGUAGAGGUCCUCAUAUGCCCGACCCCUUGCUUCACCAACAGCUCGCUUUGCGGCCUUCUUCGCCAUCUUGUACUUCUCUAUGUUGUCUGCACUCCUAUCCAGGUAUAGGCGUCUGAAGCAAUAUUUCUUCUCUUUAAUCGCCUUCUGGACAUCAUCAUUCCACCACCAGGUAUCCUUAUCUUCACUUCUCCUUCCCAUGGACACUCCAAACUCCUCCGAGGCCACCUUACGAAUGCAAGUCACCAUCUUCACCACACAUUGUCCGCAUCCCCUCCUUCCUCCCAAGGGCCCUCCUUAAUUACCCUCUCCUUGAACACCUGAGCUACCUCCCCCUUGAGCUUCCACCACUUUGUUCUAGCGACCUUGGCACGCUUAUCCCGAUGGACACGAAUCCGAAAGCGGAAGUCGGCAACCACCAGCUUAUGCUGGGGUACAACACUCUCCCCAGGUUCACCUUACAGUCUAGGCACGCACGCCUAUCUUCUCUUCUCGAGAGGAUGAAAUCAAUCUGGCUAGAGUAUUAGCCACUACUAAAAGUCACCAGAUGUGAUUCUCUCUUUCUAAAGAGGGUGUUAGCUACAAUCAUGUUGUAGGCUAGAGCAAAGCUUAAGACAUCUUCUCCUUCUUGAUUCCUGAUGCCAUAGCCAAAGCCCCCAUGCGCCCCUUCAAAACCUGUGUUAGAUGUACCCACGUGGCCAUUGAGGUCUCCUCCUAUGAAGAGCUUCUCACCAAUCGGUACACUCCUAACCAUGUCUUCCAAGCCUUCCCAGAACUCCCUCUUGGUGUUCUCAUUGUGGCCUACUUGCGGGGCAUACGCGCUGAUAACAUUGAGAACCAAGUCCUCAACUACCAGCUUGACCAGGAUAAUCCGGUCCCCACGUCUCCUGACGUCUACCACUCCAUACUUGAGGCUCUUGUAGAUCAAGAUCCGUACGCCAUUUCUGUUUGCAGCCGUCCCCGUGUACCACAGCUUGAAGCCGGUAUCCUCCACCUCCUUUGCCUUCUGUCCUCUCCAUUUGGUUUCUUGGACGCGAAGGAUAUCAACACCUCUCCUCACUGCUGCAUCAACUAGCUCCUGAAGCUUCCCUAUCAAAGACCCUACGUUCCAGCUACCUAAGCGAAUCCUCCUAGGCUCGGCUAGCUUCCUUACCCUUCGCACUCGUCGAGUCAAAUGCGAAGACCCUUGCUCAUUUUACACUACAUUCGGGCGCCGAUGUAGGGCGCCACUAAGGAUGCGAUGACCCGAUCCUCGCUCACUUGCCACCGUAUCCGGAUCAAGAUACGGCGCGCCACUUGGGGGGUGACGGCCCAGCCCUUGCCCAUUUUCCACCACACCCGGGUUCCGAUGUGGCGCGUUGCUGAGAGGGUUACGCCCCAACGAAAAUCUUUUGGGUUUCAUCUCCAUAAGAGUGGCUGAGUUUUUAUGUUGUCUCGCCAAGCCUAUCACAACCCUCCUCCUUUACCCGGGCUUGGGACCGGCUAUGUUGAGACAACAUAGGCGGAGUUAGAAGGCUGGCAAGGUCGACAGAAGUAUAUUGGAUAUACAUUAUAUUAAUGCGUACUUUACUAGUACUCCUAGUAGCACCAGGGUAUUAAGAUACCGGUUCGGUUGCUAAGUGUUAGUAACUCGAAAUAAAAGAGCUACGGAAUAAACGGAGACUAGCUAAAGGUGAGAUGACGAUGUGUGUUGGAAGUGUUUCCAAGGUUGAUGUGAUCAAGCAUCGCAUGCUCCCUCUACCAUCGAGAUUGGUGUUAAACCUAAAUAAUUGUUAUUUGGUGUUUGCGUUGAGCAUAGACAUGAUUGGAUUAUGUUUAUCGCAAUAUGGUUAUUCAUUUAAGGAGAAUAAUGGUUGCUCUGUUUAUUUGAAUAAUACCUUCAAUGGUCUUGCACCUAAAAUGAAUGGUUUAUUGAAUCUCGAUCAUAGUGAUACACAUGUUCAUGCCAAAAGAUAUAAGAUAGUAAUGAUAGUACCACAUACUUGUGGCACUGAUGUUUGAGUCACAUUGGUAUAAAACGCAUGAAGAAGCUCCAUGUUGAUGGAUCUUUGGACUCACUCGUUUUUGAAAAGAUUGAGACAUGUGAACCAUGUCUAUUGGUACAUAUGCAUGAAGAAACUCCAUACAUAUGGAUCGUUUGGACUCACUUGAUUUUGAAUCACUUGAGACAUGCAAAUCAUACCACAUGGGCAAGAUGACUGAAAAGCCUCGUUUUCAGUAAGAUGGAACAAGAAAGCAACUUGUUGGAAGUAAUACAUUUUGAUGUGUGCGGUUCAAUGAGUGCUGAGGCACGCAGUGGAUAUCGUUAUGUUCUUACUUCACAGAUGAUUUGAGUAGAUGCUGAGUAUAUUUACUUGAUGAAACACAAGUCUGAAUUAUUGAAAGGUUCAAGUAAUUUCAGAGUGAAGUUGAAGAUCUUCGUGACAAGUGGAUAAAAUGUCUGUGAUAUGAUCAUAGAGAUGAAUAUCUGAGUUGCGAGUUUGGUACACAAUUAAGACCUUGUGGGAAUUGUUUCAUAACUAAUACCGCCUGGAACACCAUAGUGUGAUGGUGAGUCCGAACAUCAUAGAUGCGCCCUAUUGGAUAUGGGGCAUACCAUGAUGUCUCUUAUCGAAUUACCACUAUCGCUUAUGGGUUAGGCAUUAGAGACAACCGCAUUCACUUUAAUAGGGCACCAUGUAAUUCUGUUGAGAUGACACCGUGUGAACUAUGGUUUAGAGAAACCUAAGUUGCCGUUUCUUAAAAAGUUUGGGGCUGCGAUGCUUAUGUGAAAAAGUUUCAUGCUGAUAAGCUCAAUCCCCAAGUGGAUAAAUGCAUCUUCACAGGACACCCAAAAGGUUGGGUAUACCUCCUAAUUCUGAUCCAGAAGCAAAAGUAAUUGUUUCUACAAACGGGUCCUUUCUCGAGGAAAAGUUUCUCUCGAAAGAAUUGAGUGGGAGGAUGGUGGAGACUUGAUAAGGUUAUUGAACCAUCACUUCAACUAGUGUGUAGUAGGGCACAAGAAGUUGUUCCUGUGGCGCCUACACCAAUUGAAGUAGAAGCUUAUGAUAGUGAUCAUGAAGCUUCGGAUCAAGUUACUACCAAACCUCGUAGGGUGACAAGGAUGCGUACUACUUCAGAGUGGUACAGUAAUCCUGCCUUGAAGGUCAUGUUGCUAGACAACAAUGAACCUAUUAGCUAUGGAGAAGCGAUGGUGGGCCCGGAUUCCGACGAAUGGCUCGAGGCCAUAAAAUACGAGAAAAGAUCCAUGUAUGAAAACAAAGUAUAGACUUUGGAAGAACUACUCGAUGGUCGUAAGGCUGUUGAGUACAGAUGGAUUUUAAAAGGAAGACGGACAAUGAUGGUAAGUGUCACCAUUAAGAAAGCUCGACUUGUCGCUAAGAUGUUUUCCGACAAGUUCAAGGAGUUGACUAUGAUGAGACUUUCUCACUCAUAGCGAUGCUAAGAGUCUGUUGGAAUUAUAUUAGCAGUUACUGCAUUAUUUAUGAAAUCUUACAGAUAGGAUGUCAAAAACAUUGUUUCCUCGACGAUUUUCUUGAGGAAAGGUUGUAUGUGAUACAACCAGAAUGUUUUGUCAAUCCUGAAAGAUGCUAACAAGUAUGCAAAGCUCCAGCAAUCCUUCUAAGGAUUGGAGUAAGCAUCUUGGAAUUGGAAUAUACACUUUGAUGAGACGAUCAAAGAUUUUGGGUUUAUACAAAGUUUAUGAGAAACUUGUAUUUCCAAAGAAGUGAGUGGGAGCACUAUAGAAUUUCUAAUGAGUAUAUGUUGUUGACAUAUUGUUGAUCAUAAAUGAUGUAGAGUUUCUGUAAAGCAUAUAGGUUUAUUUGAAAAGUGUUUUUCAAUGGAAAACCUGGAUUAAGCUACUUGAACAUUGAGCAUCAAGAUCUAUAAGGAUAGAUCAAAAUCGCUUAAUAGUACUUUCAAAUGAAUACAUACCAUGACAAGAUUUUGAAGGAGUUCAAAAUAGAUCGGCAAAGAAGGAGUUCUUGGUUGUGUUAUAAGGUGUGAGUAUUGAGUAAGACUCAAGACCUGACCACGGCAGAAAAGAGAGAAAGGACGAAGGUCGUCCCCUAUGCUUUAGACGUAGGCUCUACAGUAUGCUAUGCUGUGUACCGCACCUGAAGUGUGCCUUGGCAUAAGUCAGUCAAGGGGUACAAGAGUGAUCCAGGAAUGAAUCACAGGACAACGGUCAGACUUAUCCUUAGUAACUAAUGUACUAAGAAAUUUUCUCAAUUAUGGAGGUGGUAAAAGAGUUCGUCGUAAAGGGUUACGUCGAUGCAAACUUUGACACUAAUCCGGAUGAUUCUGAGUAGUAAACCAUAUUCGUAUAGUAGAACAGUUAUUUGGAAUAGCUCCAAAUAGAGCGUGGAAGCUAUAGUAUGACAUAGAGAUUUGUAAAAAACACACGGAUCUGAAAGGUUCAGACCCGCUGACUAAUGACCUCUCUCACAAGCGAGAUAUGAUCAAACCCCAUGGGUCUUGAAUUCAUUACAAUCACACAGUGAUGUGAACUAGAUUAUUGACUCUAGUGCAAGUGGGAGACUGUUGGAAAUAUGCCCUAGAGGCAAUAAUAAAAUGGUUAUUAUUGUAUUUCCUUGUUCAUGAUAAUUGUCUAUCGUUCAUGCUAUAAUUGUAUUAACUGGAAACCGUAAUACAUGUGUGAAUAUAUAGACCACAACAUGUCCCUAGUGAGCCUCUAGUUGACUAGCUCGUUGAUCGAUAGAUGGUUAUGGUUUCCUGACCAUGGACAUUGGAUGUCAUUGAUAACGGGAUCACAUCAUUAGGAUAAUGAUGUGAUGGACAAGAGCCAAUCCUAAGCAUAGCACAAGAUCGUGUAGUUCGUUUGAUAAAGCUUUUCUAAUGUCAAGUAUCAUUUCUUAGACCAUGAGAUUGUGUAACUCCCGGAUACCGUAGGAGUGCUUUGGGUGUACCAAACGUCACAACAUAACUGGGUGACUAUAAAGGUGCACUACAGGUAUCUCCGAAAGUGUCUGUUGGGUUGGCACGAAUCCAGACUGGGAUUUGUCACUCCGUAUCACGGAGAGGUAUCUCUGGGCCCACUCGGUAAUGCAUCAUCAUAAUGAGCUCAAUGUGACUAAGUAGUUAGUCACGGGAUCAUGCAUUACGGAACAAGUAAAGUGACUUGCCGGUAACGAGAUUGAACGAGGUAUUGGGAUACCGACGAUCGAAUCUUGGGCAAGUAACAUACCGAUUGACAAAGGGAAUUGUAUUGAUUGAAUCCCCGACAUUAUGGUUCAUCCGAUGAGAUCAUCGUGGAACAUGUGGGAGCCAACAUGGGUAUCCAGCUCCCGCUGUUGGUUAUUGGCCAGAGAGUUGUCUCGGUCAUGUCUGCAUGAUUCCCGAACCCGUAGGGUCUACACACUUAAGGUUCGAUGACGCUAGGGUUAUAAGGGAAGUCUGUAUGUGGUUACCGAAUGUUGUUCAGAGUCCCAGAUGAGAUCCCGGACGUCACGAGGAGUUCCGGAAUGGUCCGGAGGUAAAGAUUUAUAUACGGGAAGUCCAGUUUCAGUCACCAAAAUAGUUUCGGGGGUUAUCGGUAUUGUACCGGGACCAUCGAAAGGUGUCCGGAGGUCCAACGGGUGGGGCCACCUGCCCCGGGGGACUUGAUGGGCUGAAUAUGGGAGGGAACCAGCCCCUAGUGGGCUGGUGCACCCCUCCUCAAGGGCCCAAGGCGCCUAGGGUUGAAAACCCUAGGGGAGGGGGCGCCUCCACCUUGCUUGGGGGGAAGCCUCCCCUCCUAGCCGCCGCCCCCCGUCUAGAUGGGAUCUAGAGGGGCCGGCCCCCUCUCCCCUUCCCCUAUAUAUAGUGGGUUUUUUGGGGCUGUGAAGGACAUGAGUUUUCCUCUCUCCUGGCGCAGCCCUACCCCUCUCCCUCCUCGUCUCUCGCAGUGCUUGGCGAAGCCCUGUUGGAGUGCCACGCGCCUCCAUCAUCACCAUGCUGUUGUGCUGCUGCUGGAUGGAGUCUUCCCCAACCACUCCAUCUCUACUUGCUGGAUCAAGGCGCGGGAGACGUCACCGGGCUGCACGUGUGUUAAACGCGGAGGCACCGUUGUUCGGUGCUUAGAUCGGAUUCAGCCGCGAUCUGAAUCACUUCAUGAACGACUCCACCGACCACGUUCCUGCAACGCUUCCGCAUCGCGAUCUUCAAGGGUAUGAAGACACACUCCCCUCUCCCUUGUUGCUAGAAUAUCCAUAGAUUGAUCUUGGUGAUGCGUAGAAAAUUUUGAAUUUCUGCUACGUUCCCCAACACAUGGCGCAAUGAAGACGGCUGUCGGGCCGCAUCGCCUGCCGCGAGACGUGACAGACCACCAGAGGGGCCCCCCGACUGCGACUUGUUGUCGCGGCGAGAGUAGCAGCGAGUCGGGCCAGUCGGCCACCGACACGUGGCGGACGGGGAGCGAGCGGCUCGACUUGCGGCUCGGUCGGCUUGGCGGGACGAGCGGGAGAGCCCCGCGUGUCAGCCGCAGACCCAGAGCUGGUGGAGGGCACCGAGGCGGAUCUAGGGGCGGAUCCUGAUGUGCUGACACGAUGCUGUGAGGGCACGGAUCCCGCGGACGAUUCUUUGGCCGCCUGCUGCAGAAGCGAUCCCGAGGAGGAUAUGUCCCCCAGGGCUAGACACAUGAAAUAAGGCACGUUGGCCAGGUUUUCUUCACCAUUUUCUCCACAAUUUUCACCUGCACCAUCAGAAAGCUCACAUGCAGGGUUAUGGGUGUUAGUCAACAUUGAAUCAUUACAAUUAUUUUCCUCAUGAUGUGCACCGGUCAACUUAGGUGGCAAAAGAAGAAUUUCUUUGCGAAGAAGGGCGCCGGCAUUAGGGUGGAGAUCAAAGAAAGCGAAUUUGUUCUCAUCAAACACAACAUCACGGGAAAUAUAGACUCGACCAGUGGAGAUAUCAAGACACUUGACACCUUUAUGUAAUGGACUGUAGCCAAUGAAAGCACAUUGUUUAGAUCGAAACAUGAGCCUUCGAUUGUUGUAGGUCUAAGAUUAGGCCAACAUGCACACCCAAAGAUGCGGAGAGAGGUAUAAUCUGGUUUUAUGUGAAGAAGUCUCUCGGUGGAAGUUUCAUUAUUUAUAACACGACUAGGCAAUAUGUUUAUGAGAUGCACUGCCGUGAGGAAUGCCUCGUCCCAACAUUUGAGGGGCAUGGAUGCUCGCGCAAGCAAAGCGAGACCGACUUCUACAAUGUGUCUAUGUUUGCAUUCAACAGACCCAUUUUGCUGAUGGGCAUGUGGACAUGACACAUGAUGAGACACACUAAGAGUUUGGAAAAAGGAGUUUAAUUUCUCGUACUCCCCUCCCCAAUCAGAUUGGACAACGAUGAUUUUGCUGUCAAAUUUUCUUUCAAUGAGUGCUUGAAUUUUUUUGAAGACUUGAAAGACAUCAGAUCUUUUCUUUAGGAGAUAGAUCCAUGUGUAUUUGUUGUAAUCAUCUAUGAAACUCACAUAAUAAGUAUGUCUACCAACUAAAGAGGGUGCAGGACCCCACACAUCAGAAAAUAUGAGUUGUAGUGGUUUGGUAGAAAUACUAGAAGAAAUUGGAUAUGGUAACUGAUGGCUCUUGGCCUUUUGACAAGAACCACGAAUUGUUUCAAGACUAAGCUCCCCAACAUAUGGAAGCUUAUUUUUCCUAAGCACUCGUUCUACUAAAGAAAAUGAUGCAUGCCCUAGUCGAUCGUGCCACCGAGUUGAAGAUAAUUUGGUGACACCAUAUGCUUGCUUAUUGAAUCUCCUAAUCUCCGGAAUCAAUGGAUAGAGUCCUCGAACGCAUCUACCUCGAUACAGGAUUCUCUUCGUGGCCUGAUCCUUGAUCAAAAAGAAAAACGGGUGAAACUCGAGAAACACAUGAUUAUCAAUGGCAUUGCAAUGAACGGAUAGGAGAUUCAUUGAUGCUCUAGGGACAUGCGAAAAUUUUCUAAGAUGAAUUUUUUUGUGAGGAGUUUUAAUAACUGAAUGACCAAUGUGACGGAUUCCCAUACCUUCUCCAUUAGCUGCAUGGAUCUGAUCGCGGCCGCGGUACUUCUCCGUCAUGCUCACCUUUUCCAGCUAACCGGUGAUGUGGUUGGUAGCACCACUGUCGACGUACCAAUUUGUGUCGACUCCGUACGAGGCAUCUGCUCCUCCAGGGACCUUCUCAUCAGUAGGCGAGUCGCUGUCCUCCUAGAAGCGGUACCAGCGGUCCCUCGCCGAGUGUCCAAGCUUGCCACAAAUCUGGCAGCAGACGGCAUCUGGACGGGACUUGCUGGAGUUGUUGCGGCGGCCCUUAGGGUUGGUGUAGGAGGGUCAUGCACCGUUGUUGUUGCCGCGAGAGUUGGGGGCGCCACUCUUACCGUCGCUGGUCGCCUCCGCCUUGCGCGCUGGCCCUCGAUAGCGUGAGGAGCCGUCGCCGCCGCCGCCGCAUCCAUGUGAAGUGGCGUUAGCAGAUGACUUGAACCCACCGCCAGAGUUGUUUCCCUAGAAGAGCGCGACUCUUUGGUCGAAGUUACUCAUCUGGGCGAAGAGCUCAUCCAGGGUGACCGGCUGUGUGCGGGCGUCGAGGGCAGAGACAAGCGGCUGAUACUCCAUAUCGAAACUAGCAAGGAUGUAGGAGAUCAGCUCGCUGUCAUCUUGAAGCGGUUUGCCUGCUGCAGCAAGCUCGUCCACCAGGGAGCGCAUGUGCGCGAAGUAUGUUGCCACGGACUACGUGCCCCUCUGUGCAUUCGCUAGUGUGAUGCGGAUGUUGUUGACCCUCGACAGCGACUGGGACGAGAACAUGCUCGCCAAGGCUGCCUAGAGUUCAUGUGCAUGGACGAUGGAGGUAACCUGCACUAGAACUUCUUUGGUGAGAUUGUUCAACAGAUAGACAAGUACCUGCUGAUCCUCUCGGAUCCAGACGGCAUGACGGGGAUUUGGGAUGGUCUCCUCCUUCCCAUAUUUGUCCUUGAUGACGACUUGUUUGGCCGGCUCCGGGUUCGUUCCAUCAAUGUACCCGAAGAAUCCCGCUCCUCUGAUCUGCAGUGUGAUUUAGGUGCGCCAGAGGAUGAAGUUGGUGCGGGAGAGCUUUUCCGUGACUUGGCCAGAGAGACCAGAGGUUACGGUGGCGGUAGAGGAAGCCAUGGCAGCAAGCGUAGGUGGUGGAAGGGAUGGAAGCUAGAUGCGAUGGAAGAGAUGGGCUCUGAUUACCAUGUGAGAAUUGUUGUAACGUCGUACCUAUCCUGGUAGGAAUGGUUCUAUGUUAUAUAGCAGGGGCCGACUCCCUGAUAAGGCAUACAAGCUUGGAGUACAAGGAACGAAGAGAUAGAGAUAGAUCAUGCAGUUGGAAGAAGAUAGACUAGAUACUAACAACCUAUUCAAACUAACUCUAUCUCAAGAUAUGUGCAUUAUGACUACACGUCCUUGUUACAAUCAUACACGCAUAUAUGAGUUUAACACAACACCAGUACAAAACAGACCAAGAUGGACUGAUACUAAUGGCGUCAAGAAGGAAGGUGAACAGAAAACCGACCCUAAGCCCGAAGGAAAGUGCAGAGAACCUAGUACUUGCAGAUACUGUGGAGGCAAAUGGUUCUUUAGACACAAGUGUGCCCAAUAUAAAACACUGAAUAUCAUAACCACUGAAGAAAAUGCUGAGGAAACAACAGAUGAAAUUCUACAGGGCAGUGAUCCAACUGAAGAAAACACUACACCUGCUACUUCCCCAAUUAAAGAGGAACAAUAUAUGCACAUAUCACUCGAGGCCCUAGGAAAACUACCCAUUGCUGCAACAUUUUCCUUUAAAGUCAACAAUGGAGCAGGAGUGGCAUAGCGUUGGUGGACUUAGGGAGUACCCAUACCUUCAUAAACAUGAUUUUUUUAGAGAAAAGGCCAAAGCCCGACUUUAUAGAUAAAGCCUCAAGGCAGCGUCACGGAUACCGCAAGUUCACAGGAGCACACACACAAAGAAAAGGAAGAGAGUAGCCAAAGCAGGAAAGAUACAGGCAACUGCCAUACACGGCGCGCAGGCCGGGGAGGGAGAAACACCUAAUCUCCGCAAGCGACAGCACCAGAUUAGACGACAGGGUUCCUCCCGGAGAUCUGAGAAGCCGAAGCCCGAAUUUUGUCGAUGAGAAGGUCCAGGGCAUCCCGAUCAGUCUCCUUAGUCAAUGAUCUCCACUGCUGCAAGAAUAUACAUGAUUUGAAAAGAACAUCAGCAGGCUUAGAUGGGAAGGUAAGUUCAAUAGUAAAUUUGUUUCUAAUGGUCCAGAGAGCCCAACAUAAAGCUCCCAGGCCAACCCAAAAUACCCUCUUGGUGACCCCGACCAAGGCUUUGGCUAGGGUUCGAAUCUCAGCGAAAGAGGAGGGAUUCCAGGGAACCCGAAGCCAAGAUCUGACGCAGCACCAAACUAAUUUGGCGAGAACGCAAUUGAAAAAGAUGUGAUCAGAGUUCUCCAAGGCCCCACAUAAAUUACAGAAUUCCGAGCCCGGCCCAUUGCGUUUUUUGAUCUGAUCAGUAGUCGGGAGGCGACCACGGAAGGCUUGCCAGAGAAAAAUCUUAAUCUUAGGAGGAACCUUGGAUUUCCAAAUGCAAGAGAAUCGAGCCGAAGGACUACCACCAAUAAGUCUAGAAUACAGCAACUUAACCGAAAAUCUACCAGAGGCCGAAUGAGGCCAAAUCACCGAGUCGGCCGACUCCGAGAGCACAGGGAAGAGGGCAGAGAGACUUUGCCAAUCUUCCAACUCUCCAGGAGACAGGGCCCGAUGAAAAGCCAAAUCCCAAUUAUUAGCAGCCACCUCCGCGAUGGAGAUCUGCGGAUUAGGACAGUAAGAAAACAAAACCGGAAAGCGCACGGCUAGGGGGGCAUCCCCAGACCACCAAUCCAACCAAAAUCGAACAGCCAACCCAUUACCAACAGUAAACUUAACAUGCUCCAGAAAAAUUGGUCUAACUUUGACAAGGGCUUUCCAAAACUGAGAGCCACGCCGCGCUGAAGCAAACAGCGGGUUGGAGUGAGGGAAAUAUUUGGCCUUAAGAAUCGAAAACCACAACGACUCGGCCCCAACAGUCAUAAUUUUCCACCACCACUUGAUAAGCAAACAAAUGUUCAUCACCCGAGUAUUAAUAAUGCCUAACCCCCCAAGGUUCUUAGGUUUACACAUAAGUUGCCACUUGACCAGCCUAUACUUCCUUUUGUUAUCAGCGGAAUUCCAGUAGAAGGCACCCCUAUGUUUGUCGAAGCCAGCAUGCACGCCAUUCGUGAGAAGAUAAAAGCCCAUAAGAAACAUAGGGAGAGAGGAUAAGCAUGAGUUGAUUAGAGCCACUUUGCCGGCAUUGGUAUUAUAUCUACCCCUCCAAGGGAGCACCCUGUUCCCCACUUUAGCAACCGCCUGAGCGAAAUCAUUCGCAUGAAGCAUUCCAGGAGAGAUAGGAAGGCCUAAAUACUUGAAGGGGAAGGAGCCUAAUGAGCAGUUAAGGAGCCUGGCAACCCGCAAGGCUUCCGCCCCAUCAACACCCGUCACCAAAACCUCACUCUUGGCGAAAUUAAUCUUAAGACCCGAAACGGCUUCGAAACACAACAGGAUGAAUUUUAGAUUGGCAAUACAGGCGUCAUCCAGCUCCACCAAGAUGAUUGUAUCGUCCGCAUAUUGCAGAUGGGAGACACCUUCCGGAAGUAAAUGGGAGGCCACAGGAGCGAUGUGCCCACAGCGGGCCGCCCUGGAGAGCAUGCAAGAGAAGGCGUCGGCCACAAAGUUAAAAAGAGCAGGGGAGGCAGGAUCCCCUUGGCGAAGGCCCCUGCCAUUCGCGAAGAAAUUGCUAACAAAGCCGUUAACAGCAACGGCAGUAUGGCCACCCGAGACCAACUGCAUGAUACGAUGAACAUAAGCACCGUCGAAGCCUUUAGCAAGGAGGACCUGCUUGAGGAAGGGCCAGCUAACCGAGUCAUACUCUUUUUGAAAGUCUAACUUAAGAAUAAUCGCUUUAGCUCUUCGCACAUGAAGAUCAUGAACAAUCUCAUGAAGGGAAAGAAUACCGUCAAGAAUGAAACACCCUUUGAUGAAAGCAGACUGAAAGGGGCUAAUAACUCUAUGAGCUACCAGAGACACACGAUUCGCAAAGCCUUUAGCCAGGAAUUUGGCAAAGUUGUUAAUCAAAGCAAUAGGCCGAAAUUGGGAGAUAACAUCAGCACCCUUGACCUUAGGAAUCAGGGAUAUCACAGCGUAAUUCAAGCGAGAGAUAUCGACAGUACCAAGGCAGAAACCCUGGAUAACGUUACACACCAACUGUUUCAACUGGGGCCAGAAUUUCCGAAAGAAAGGGAUGGAAAAACCGUCUGGCCCGGAAGCAGCAUUGGGAUUAGCAGAGUUAACAACAUCCCAAAUUUCCUGGUCAGAGAGCAGAAUCAUCAAGGAAGCAUUCUCCUCGGGGUGAUUUUAAGACCAGAGCUCCAUAGGUGGGGAGAUAUAUAUAAGCCCGAUUGGGGUUUAGCCCCUAACAACAAAGAAAAGAAAUCCACCACAUGAGCCAUAAUAACAGACUGAUCAGAAGAACGCACACCAUUAAUCAGAAGGCUAUUAAUAUCACAGCACCUACGCCUACCGUUCGCAAUCGCAAAAAAGUAGGCUGUAGGAGAGUCCCCUUUAAGAGUCCAGUUAAGAGUGCCCCGCUGGCGCCAAUAAAUCUCGGCCUGGUGGUGCAACUGCAUUAAAGCAACCUCAAGAUUAUAACGAACGGCCCAGCCAUCGUCAGAGAGCCCAGUAGAAUCAGCAGCACGAUCCAGCUCCAAGAUCUGGUUUUCGAGAAAAGCUUUGGUGCGACGAUCCUCCGCCGCACGAUUACGAGACCAACCUCUAAGAAACUUACGUAAGUCAUAGGAGCACGAGUGCCAAUCAUCCAGAGGCCCAAACGAGUGGGAGUUGGACGAGAGGGAUGGGGAAAUCUUCGCUGCAGCCAUAUCAGCAAAGCCAUCCACCGACAACCAUGAAGCAUCAAAUUGAAAUCUAGCCAGAGGUCGCGUGCAAAUGGAACCAUCGUCAAGAAUCAAGGGGGUAUGAUCAGACCCGACAAUGCAUUUGGCGUUAAGAGAAGUUCUAGGGAACAAGGAAUCCCACCUGAGACAUAGGAAGAUGCGAUCAAGCACGGAUCUAAUAGGGUUAGCCUGAUGGUUAGACCAAGUAAAGCGAGCUCCCCCCCCCCCGAGGAAGCUCACGGAUGGCGUUAGCACUAAUGAAGUCAUUAAAAGCAUUAGCUAAAGGCCAAGAGAAAUUAUCAUUAUUCUUGUCAAGGGGGCACCGUAGAAGAUUAAAGUCUCCCCCAAUAACCAUCGGUAAAUUACAGGACUCAAUCUUGAUCGAGAGUUCAUUAAGGAAUAGGGUCGACAGAGAGUGAUCCGCAGGCCCAUAAACAACGAUAAACUCACAGAGGGUAUUCAUAGAUUUGUGAGAAAGAACAACGCUGGCCCAAAAAAACCCAUGGUCAAAAGCAACAAAAUCAAAAAUAUCUUUAUUAGAACCAAUCAAGAUCCCACCAGAGUGGCCCGAAGCAGGUAAAAAAUGCCAAUUAAAUCUGUCCAUACCCACAAUAGCAGAGAGCUCAUUAGGGGAGAAGGAAUCCUUGAAAGUUUCAACCAGUCCCACGAAAUCAAUUGAAUUAGAACAAACCAAAUCUUUAAGUUGGUCACGGCGCGCCCUAGCACCGAACCCCCUAAUAUUCCAGAAUAAAGCCCUCAUUUAUACGAAAGAUUCUUGAUGCGGAGGCUCGACCUGUAGGGGGCCAUGCAGGAUUUAGCACGUUUAUUAGUGCCCCUCUUGGAAGAGCAGGAAAGGGGCUGGCCACUACCAGCACCCGAAGCCACCCCCGCAUCACAACCAGCAACCUCGACCCUCGAGGCAACAACCUCUUUGGCUUUAGCAAUGGCUGCCUGAGCCAGUUCAUUAGCCCGAAUAAUAGCAAGAAGCGAACUAGGAGAACCAACAGAAGAAUCGACCACCAAACCCACGUCCGACAUAAUAUUUAAAAUAUGAUCAUCAGACAUAGAAGGUAAAACCACCCGAACAGGAGAAACAGUGACAGAAGAUGCUGGGGAGGUACCUGGGGGAGGGAGAUCCUUCGCCGUAGCCCGCUUCUCCGCCCUUUCCAGGACAGAACCACCGGAGUGCGCAACCCGCCUUCCUUUGCGGGCCGUGGACACCGGAGAUCGAAUAGCAGACGCUCGCGCAGCAGGAGAGCCAACAUGGGGACCGGAGCAGGACAUAGAACCCAGAUCUUGAUCAAGACACCGACAGAUCCCUGUCAUGGAUUGCUUCGAGCCCGACGAGUUCCGGCUCUUAGCCAAGAACUUGCACACUGAGGAUUUCUUCUUCGUGAGGGGCUGGGAUUCCACCAUAUUGUGAGCCGGGGAGACAGGGAGAUCUUCAAUUCCCGAACGGGUGGGGGAGAGUGGGCAAGCAGGAAGAUUGGAGCAGGCACCAGACACGGGGGUAGCCGAGCAAGGCGGGACCUUUGGCAAAUCAGCGACAGCGGUCGGAGCAGUCUGAGCAGCAGGGGAGAUCACUGGGUCAUCAUGAGGAGCAUCCCCAAAAGGAGCUUGGGAUUGAAACAACUCACGUUUAGAGUCUGCCAAGCCAUCCCAUUCAGAUUGAAUGAAGCGAAGAUUAGACCCAAAGCUCUGAUUAGGACCACCCAAAGAUCCACCCCCCUCCUUGUCAUGCUUGUCCGAGGAAUUAGCAGGAGGAGGAGGGGGAGGUGGGGCUUGGAAAGCCGCCGCCCCCUCCACCCGCACCCGGAGCCUAAUACCAUUGGGAGAUGGGUAAACAUCAAUCGAGCCAUGCACACGUUCAGGAUCAACACACCAAACCUUCAUCCUAGCAGGACCAACCUUGUUCAAAGAAUCCUCAUCCACCUCAAUAGGUUUCCCAAUUAAAACCCCAUAGGACAUGAGGAAAGCAGGCGAGCGAAGACCAGCAGGCAAAUCAUCGAUCAAAACCCACACUUGAGAAAGAGGGCCAACUGCCGUACCAUUGUAAGAAGCAGCUUUGACAGAAACCACCAAUUGAUUGAGAGGCAAGGUGAAGCUGGUGCAAGAAGCAAUCAACGCAAGCAUUCUUUGGAGGGGAACACCACAGAGAAAUCAAAAUCAGACAUCUGCACAACUUGCCAGUCCCAUCCAGCCACAUCCCAAAUGCGAAGCCCUUCCAGAAGAGUUUGGGGCAAAAUCUUUUGGUCUUUGACCAAGACAAUCGCCGCAUUGGACAGCGCAGGUGCCACCUCCCGAACAGGAAGGUCACCAUCGAAGGCGAAGAAGGCGCAGCCAGGGAGUCCCAAGCCAAACUGGAGGACCGCGGGAGGUUUCUGCCUAGCCAUGCAGUUGACUGUAAGAUGACCAUCAGAGCGACAGAUCAGGCAGAAGGGGGGAUUGGUGCAGCGGGACUGGAAGUGCCCAGGCCUGUGGCAAGCGAAGCAGGUGAGCGCCGAUGGGUUGUUGUGGGAGGUAGAGGAGGGACGAGGUUGCCGCAGCGACGGGGGAGAAGGAAGAAUCCCAUCCCCCAUUCCCGGAGGAAGGGGCGCCCCCGAGGCUGGACCAGGCGGCCGACGUGCCGGCCCCGCGAAGGACCGAGGCGGCGGACGAGCACCAGAUCCAGCCCCAAACGAGCGAGGAGGCGGGGGCGGUAAGGGACGCGACGGGGCAGACGAGCCACGCCCCGCACCCAGAACGGGAAGGGAGGCAGAGGAUGAAGACACCCCACCGCCGGAGGCCACCGCCGCCUCCCACGGAUCCAGCACUGGAGAAGGAGAAGGACCAUAUCCAGAGCCCUGCGGACCGGAUCCAGUCACACCGUCCCUCUCCGAGCGCUGCACCCGCUCCGGACCCGAAACCCAGGCCUCGCGGGCACGAGCCGCCUGCUCGCGCGCCGCCUGCUUCGACUCCAGCUUGGAGCGGAGCGAAGCCUCGAGCUCCAGAUCCACCGCGGAGGCAGGGGAUUCCUCGCGGCGCCGCUUGCUGCCAGAGAGCGCCUCGCAAGAAGAACCCCUAGACUUGUCCAUGGCGAUCACCGCAGCAAAAGGAAGACGGAGGGGUGGGCGUGGGGGAGAUCUAAUGAUGCGGCGGAUGGGAAGACGAUGGCGGCGCAGAUCAGAAGCGGAAGUAGGAAACCCUAGCAGGGAGGGAGAGAACCGCGUGGAAUCCAUAAAUAGCCCGAGGAAGCCGUGCCCACCUGGGCCCGACUAGCCAAAUGGGCCGAAGGAGGGUGAGGAGCAGGCAGCCGGGCGGUGGGCCCAACUGGGCCAUACGAAACGAGAGGGGGGAAAUCGACCACAGAAGAGAGGGUGGGAGGGGAGGAAGGCCCACUAGCCAGCACCACCCCGCCAGGCCCAGCAAGCCCACACGGGGAGUUGGCCCGCGAUCCAGAGGACACCGCAUCGAGAUCAAGAUCUAGGUUACACGAAGCCACCAACGCCCCCGCCGACGCCGCCACCGGCGACGAGGCCGCCGCAGACGAAGCCGGAGAGGGAGAUGGAGAGCCUCCAAGCUUCCCAUCAGGAGCACGACCCAAGACACCAGGAUCAGGAGACGCAACAGCAAACUUACCAGAUUUACGCCGACGCCGCGAGAUCCAGAUCCAGUCGUCGACCGGCGGAGACACAACCACCGGCCGGCCCCGGCCCCCAGGAGCGAACUUGCGGAGGCGAGGAGCGGCGCAGGCCACCCCCACCCCCACCCCCAGAGCAGGGCACAACACCGCAGGGGGAGGAGGCCAACGACAGCGCAUCCUCCUCAUCAGACACAAGGGCCCAAAAACGAGAUCCAAGCAUCGGCAGCGGAGAAGAAGGAGGGGAGAACCCCACCCGCGGGGAGACGGAGGAGGGGAGAGGGAGAGCAUCUGCACGCGGAGAGGAGUGCGACCGGACGCGGGCCAACGGGGCAGGGCUGAGAGCGGGCCUGCCAAGGCGAGGAGGGGAGGAGGAAGGGAGGAGGGAGGGAGAGGAAGGAGGAGCCAUCUCGACCUGUGUGUUCGGGCUACCAUAAACAUGAAUUUCACUGUUAAAACCCAUUGCACCCCUAUCACUCAACCCAUGGACACUAUGUUCAUUGCUGAGUAUGGUGUGGUUCACAUGUGGUGCCCAUAAAUUAUACCAUCCAAGGGCAUCAGUUCAACAAUUCCUUCAAAAUCUUACCCCUCAAAGGAUCUAUUAAUGAAUUCAAAAAUAAUACACGAUAUAAAUAAAAUGCUCAUGAGUCAAAAUUAUAUACACUCCACUAAGAACAGUAUCAUCAUGGCAAGCUAUCUCAUAUGGUUUGGAUCUGUUGAAAAAAGGAUUAGUUUGGAGGGUGGGUAUUGGACAAAGUAUCCUUAUCUGGAGAGAUUCCUGGAUGCAGAGACCAUUCUCAUAUAAGCUUGUAUCACCGAAGCGUAGAUGCAGGUUGAGAUUCGUCUCAGAGCUCAUAGACCACUUUGGUAAUUGGAAGCUGGACGUACUGCACCGGUACUUCAUGCAGAUGGAUAUCACUGAAAUUCUGAAGCUUUAUCCGUAUGUUUGUUUGGAUGAUUGUCUAGCCUGGGCGCCUAAAAAAGAGGCUCUUUCUCAGUUAAGAGUGCUUACGGAAUGUCUAUGGAGGAAUGCUGGAGCUCGGCAUCAACUAGUAGUUCGGCUCCUAACGCAAAUAGGAAAAUCUGGAACAAUAUAUGGAAGAGCUGCGUUCCACCCACCGUUAAAACUCCUGUGUGUAGGUUCUGCGAUGAUUCUCUCCCUACUUGGCGUAACAGGCAUAAUAGGAACCUAGAACUUUCAGAUCAGUGCCCAGUAUGUGGAGUAGAAGCAGAGGAUAAUUUUCACCCUUUCGUCAGAUGUUUGUUUUCAGUUAUGUUGUGUCGUAGUUUAUCAGAAGUUUGGAACUUGCCUAAGUUGGAAACCUUCAGAAAUAUUGGGAGAGAUUGGCUACUUAUUGUUGCAGCGGGCAUUGAUACUUGCAUGUUGGACAGAAUUCUAAUGGUGUUUUGGCACUGCUGGUUUAUUUGUAAUAAGGUUGUCCACAACAAGAAACCACCUCUUGUUGAUGUCUUCAAAAGAUUUCUUCUUAGUUAUAUGGGUAUGCCACAUAAGAUCAAGUACCACCCCGACAAAGACUUCAUCAAAGGGAAGUUUUCUAUUGAUGGUCAUAUUGCUCCUUUAUCCCAGUCAGGCACUUCUUCUGCUCACACGCAUGCAUGGAUCCCACCAGUUUUGGGCUGGAAUAACCUUAAUACCGAUGGAUCCUUCUCAGCAGAAGGUAUUGCGGGCACUAGAAUGAUCCUAAGAGACCAUCUUGGGAAACAUAUAUUCUCCUCAUGCACAUAUCUCGACUCUUGUUGGGAUGCUUUGGAAGUUGAGCUUCCUGCAGUGUGUGAAAGUGUUUCUUUGGCUCUUCAAUGGUGUAGCACUCCUGUCCUAAUCGAGGUAGAUUGCUUACAACUCGUCAACAUCGUUCAACAAAAGGAUCGAGACCUGUCAGGCUACAUGACAUUGAUUGAGGAGAUUAAGAAACUUAUGAGAUCUCGUCAGACUUGUAGUACUCAUAUUUCGCGUAACCAAAAUACUAUUAGUCACUUCUUAGCUAACUAUGUUAGACGUCGUGGCCGUACUGUAAUUUGGUUAUGCUUCGGUCCUGAGGAUGUUAAGGACAGUUGUCUUGCUGAUUGUAAUUUUGAUGUUUGAGUAAUACAAGUUCUAUUCGCAAAAAUAUAUACACGAAUUUAAAAUGUGUUCAUGUUUCUUUAAAUAUGUCCACGUAUUUUAAAAAAUGAUCAUAAAUUUUGAAAGAUGCCCACAAAUUAAAAAAAUCAUGAAUUAGAAAAAUAUUCAUGAACUUAAAAAAUGUCAAAUUUUAGAAAAAAAAAUAUAAAUGCAAAAUAAUAUAUCUGAAUUUUAAAUGUAAAAAAAUAAAGUGAAAACAAACAAAACGAAAAACAAUGUUUGCCAGCCACGACGAUGUUAGUUCGAUGUUACACGUGCUAAGAGCUUGUCAAGUGUUAGUUCGGCCUCGCCUCUGGCGCUCGAUUAAAUGGGCCGGCCCAAUAUUAUAAUCCCUACAAUGACUUUGGGAAGGUACUAUAGUUCGGUAUUCUAAAAAUAGGUACGAUAGACCGGUUUUAGAACCUUCCAUGUGUGGUUUCUUUAGGUCCUGAUAACGCUCACACAUGUGGCAUACUAGACAUCCAUUCACACACCAUGUGUGGCGUGAGCAGGAGGCAGCCCACACGAAUUGUGUGUGGGCGAACAUCAGAAUUGCCCACGUGUCACACGCCCAAUAAAUACUACUCAUCCCAUUCCGCACGUGUGACACGAAGCAAAUAUGCCCACACGUCCUGGCGCAGCUACGUUAGGUAUCCGUGGGAUGACGAUUUAGUUGCCAUCCGGAAUGAUAGAUGUAGUUAUCCAGGAUGGCAAAUGCAGUUGUAUAAGUACGACAACUCUUUCUGUUUUGGUUAACUAAAGUUGUCAUGUCUAAUUUAUGGUAGUUGCCGCGUGUAAUCAAAUCAUAGUUGUCGUGUGUGAUUAACUACUUGUCACAUAUGGUCAAACAAUAGUUGCUAUGUGUGUUUACCUAGUUGCCACGUGUAGUCCAACCAUAGUUGCCAUGUAUGGUUAAUCAUAGUUGUCAUGUGUGUUUAUCUGGUUGCCACGUAUGCGCAACUGCAGUUGCCGUCUAGUAAUGAAUCAUAGUUGCCAUGUGUGUUUACCUAGUUGCCACGUACGCGCAACUGCAGUUGCCAUCCAACAACGUACGGGUGUCGUGUGGGCGAAAAGCAGUUCACCCACACGGCAUGGACUAGGUGGUGGCGGUGUGACCAGAAACUAAUUCGCCCACACAUUCCAGCUAGAAAACCGCGUGCUGCGGGGCAUGUAGGCGAACUCUCCAAUGCCCACACACACGAUGAUGCCCACGUGGCACUCAGAUUCUAACAGAUUCCUUUAGGAUUCGUGCAAAACAAACUCAACGUGGAUCAAGACACGUGGGCGAUGUGCAAACAUGCCACACGUGUGGCGUUAUCAUUUGGGCAUUGUAACCCUGUUAAAUUGCCUCUCUCCAACCAAACCCAGAUUUCAUACCAAACUCGUGCAUGAUUGCAGCUAAGCUAAGCUUCCACCACUACCAUGGAAUUGUAAGCAAGCACAAGCCUAGUAAUUAAGCCAAAAUAAUCAGGAGCGGAGCUUGUCGGCGUGGCGGCGCACGUUGGCCCUGAGCCGGUCGAGCGCCCGGGCGAACUCCGGCAGCUCGGCCUCCCCGAGCGCCUCCACGUCGGCCUCCCACCAGUACCGCCUCCCCAUCUGGGCCUUGACCACCGUGUCCCCGAUGGUAUUCAUCCGCUUGAUCUCCGACGCCACCUGCUCCGCGGUCGCCUCCCUGGCCCGGUACAACUCCUCCAGCGCCUCACGGUCGUCGACGUCAGCGGCAGGAACGAGGGCGCCGGCGUCGUUGCCGUCGUCGAAGCGGCGCAGGACGGCCUCCAUGGAGGGGCUGCCGAGGGCGAAGGCGUUGCCCGCCUCGGAGAAGACGACGACGGCCACGCGGGCGCCGCAGAGGAGGGCGAGCUCGGAGCACUUCUUGAAGAGGCCGGCGCGGCGCUUGGAGAAGGUGACCUGCCGGCUGUUCUUGUCCGGCCUGAGGCUCAUCUCGAUGCGGUGCCGCCCCGUGCUCGUCGUGCCGCGCGGCCGCACCAUCGCCGCGGUCGAUCCAGCAGCGAGGGAGCGGAAGAAACUCGGCGGUGUCGGCGGCGGCGGCGUUCCCUCCUCUGUUGUUGUGUCUUGAUUUGGUCUUCCUCAACACGACGCGCUGUGGCACUAUAUAUAAAGGAGGAAAAGGUUCCGGCUAGGGCUCGGGGUGAGCGUCAAGGCAUGGUCGAAGUCGGAUUGGACGCCGCGGCGGUCGGGUGCAUACGCGUCAAGGAUCUUUGAUGGAGAAGGCGGCGGUCGGGUGUCGGGUGGAAGAGUUAUACGCGUCAUUAUAACGCUCACAUGGGCUUUGGCCCAAGAAUAAUGCGUCGCUCCGGUGCGGUCGCUCGCUCGCUCCGAUCCAUUUGCUCCCUCGUUCAGCAUUUCCUACAUGGCACCUCAAGCGCCCGUCAUAGUAUAUUUUGCUAGUAACAAAACCGUUCCAAAAUCGAGGCCGGCGGCUCCUGGUUGAUUCUACACUGCAGUCACCAGCCGGCCACCAGCACGUAAUGUUAUUGCUUAGUCGUACAUCUUUUCACUCUUUUAUUCUUUCCUUUUCCUUUCUCCUUUUUUCUCUUUUUUUGGAACUGUUUGUUCAACUUUGUAUUUUUUUUUGCUUUUGCUAAAUGAGUGAACCUUUUUUAAUUUCAUAAACUUUUUAGAAGUUAAUGAAUUUUUUUUGAAACCUGUGAAGUAUUUUUCAAAGUCGAUUAUCUUUUUGAAAAUCGGUGACCUUUUUCUAAAAUCGAUGAACUUUUUCUCAAAUUGAUGGACUUUUUCUAAAAAUCGAUGAACUUUUUCCAAAACGGGUGAACUGUUUUCAAAAUUGAUGAACUUUUUUUUAAAAUGAAUGAACCUUUUCUGACAUUUGUGAACUUUCCUUCAAAAGUGAUGAAUUUCUUCUAAAAGGAAUAAAUGAACUGUUUUUCCAAUUCGUGAGCUUUAUUUGAACCUGUGCACAUAUUUUUUAUGUUACCAAAUUUUGAAAUAAUAAAAAAACUAUUCCAGUUUUUUCUUUAUGGACCAAAAGAUUUUUCAGGGAACCGCAUGAAAAAUGCAAUCUUAAGAGAAGCAAGUCGUACCAGCGAGCGAAUCGGAUGUCCAUGCGAGCAAGUGACGGUCACCGCUAGUGAUGGCCAGGCCCAUGCACGUGUGCCCUUGUGCGUUGCAACCACAAACUGGCGCUUAAGGCUGCCAUUAGGACACGGACAACAAAUCUAGCCCCUCAAACGCGCACAUUCCGGACACAUUUACGUACUACGUAGAUCAACUAAGAUUAAAUACACUUCUCGUCAUAGUCACAUAUGUCCAUGAUCUUCGUGCCCAGCUCCGGUUACAUGUACGGCAGUUGCAACUCCGGUUGCUCUUCGUCGGCCUCCGCCUCCAGUCCGGCACCGGCUACUCCCCAAACCCCUCCUCCUCUUCCUCCUCUUACUCCUCCUCUGGCCUCGACGAGUCGUGAGGUAGACCGGCUAUGAUGCGGGCGGCGCGCCUCGCCCGAAUCUCCUCCAGCAUUUUAAAUCGGCGUUCCGGCGCUAGCAUGGCAUAAGUGGUCUUCUACUGCUGGGCCAUGGCGGAGCCGGACAAAGAGGGAGGAAUGAGAUGAAAUGGGAGAGAGGUGGAUGGGAUCGGGCUGGCGGCACGAAGAGGGAGGAAAUGGAUGUUGGCUAGGGUUGUGGGAUGCCGUCCGGCUUAAAUAGCCGGACUUUGGCACUCAGGCGGCUAGUCAGAGCGGCGCCACGCGAGGUUCACGCUCCACGGGAGGAGAUGCCGGUCGGACCGUCGGGUUUUCAGGUAUUUUUCCGAUGGCACCGCUAUAGUAUAUUUUGCUAACAAAACCGUUCCAAAAUCGAACCGGCGACUCCCAGAUCGAUCGUACUCCCUCCGUUUCUUUUUACUCCGCGUAUAAGUUUUGGUCAAAGUCAAACUACACAAAGUUUGACCAAGUUUAUAUUAAGAAAUAUGAACAUCUACAAUACUUAAACUAUAUAAUAUAAAAAUACAUUUCAUGGUGCAUCUGAAAAUGUUGAUUUCAUAUUAUAAAUGUUGAUAUUUUUUAAUAUAAAAUUAGUCAAGCUAUGCAAAGCUUGACUUUGACCAAACCUUAUAUGCAGACUAAAAAGAAACUGAGGGAGUACUGCCUCCAUCUAGGAUUAUAGGUCCGGCUAGCCAGUGUUGGUUGUACGGGAUUAAAAGGCCGGCUUGCUUCAUUAGCGCUGCUGGUUCACGAGACGAUUGGCUAAGGGCAUGUACAAUGCAUAGCCUCAAGGUGAUGCCUCGCAUGCCAUGUAGGAUCGGAUAUGACGUAAAGUAGGUUCAGAUACGGAAGCAGGAUUCUCUUCAGGAGGCGGGUGCUUGAAGAGAAAAAGCUGAAAAGCUGAAAAGAUUGGAGUGAAAAGUAGAGAUGCAUGUGUACUAGAGUCUUUAUUUUUUAUUUCUUAAUGAGGCCCACUAGUGAUAGCUUGCAUUGGAGAGAAAAAAUUAAUGUAGGUGCUUCAAAUUACUUUUUGUCACGGGGCAUAUGUAUCCAUAUGCCACCAUUGUACAUGCCCGAAGGCGCUGCAUGCAGGCAGAGGAUUAAAAGUAUUGCGCUGCAUGUAGACUAUUCAUUGGGUGCAUGCAUGUAGAGGAGAUGCCAGAUGCAGCUUCUUGUAGGGUGCUUGGAUCCAAGGGACUAUUUUUAGUCUGACUAAAAAUAGUCUUUUUUAGAGGCUAAAGUUUCAAGCACCCCUAACUAAAGAGAGGCUAGGACUAGUCUUGAGGCUAGAAAUUUUUAGUCAUAGGAAACCUACUAAAAUAUGUAUUAGCCCUCUCUCUCUUCAUUUAAUGCCUCUUCUUUAACACAUGCGAGUUCUGGAUUGGAGGGUUUGGAGGAUAAUAAAUGCUAAUAACUUGAUUUUAGUCUUUUUAGUAUUUGGAUCCAAGCAUGGAUGAGGCUAACAAGUUUUAGUCUCACUACUUUUAAUCAUGGGACUAAAACGUAUCCAAACAUCCUCUGAAUGAUGAGGCAAGUGCCUGGGUACAGCUGCGGUGGCUGUCCGGUCUUGUAAUCCCAGAAGAAGGUACUCCCUCCGUCCGGAAAUACUCGUCAUCAAAAUGGAUAAAAAGAGAUGUAUCUAGAACCAAAAUACAUCUAGAUACAUCCCCAUUUAUCCAUUUUGAUGACAAGUAUUUCCGGACGGAGGGAGUAGUACACUGCAGUCACCAGCCGGCCACCAGCACGUAAUGUUAGUACUUACAUCUUUUCACCCUUUUAUUCUUUCCUUUUCCUUUCUCAUUUUUUCUCUUUUUUAGAACGGUUUUGUUUGAUUUUUUAUUUUAUUUUGAUUUUGCUAAUUGAGUGAACCUUUUUAAAUUUUGUAAACUUUUUAAAAAUCAAUGACUUUUUUUAUAUCUGUGAACUAAUUUUCAAAGCCGAUUAUUUUUUUGAAAAUCGGUGACCUUUUUUUAAAAUCAAAUAACUUUUUCUCAAAACCGAUGAACUUUUGACAAAAUUGAUGGACUUUUUCUAAAAAUAGAUGAACUUUUUCAAAAUCGAUGAGCGAACUGUUUUUUCAAAAUUGAUGAUUCUUUUAAAAAUGAAUGAACCUUUUCUGACAUUUAUAAACUUUCCUUGAAAAUCGAUGAAUUUCUUCUAAAAGGAAUUGAUGAACUGUUUUUCUAAUUCGUGAGCUUUUUUUGAACCUGUGCACAUAUUUUUAGUUUACCAAAUUUUGAAAUACUAAAAAAACUAUUCCGCUUUUUUCUUCCUGGACCAAAAGAUUUUUCCAGGGAACCACCUGAAAAAAUGCGAUCUUAAGAGGAGAGAGUCGUACGAGCGAGCGAAUCGUACGUCCAUGCAAGCAAGGGACGGUCACCGCGAGUGAUGGCCAGGCCCAUGCAGGUGUGCCCCUGUGCGCUGUAACCACAAACUGGCGCUUAACGCUCCCAAUAGGAGCUCCCCGCUCGCUCCUUGUGUCUGUUUGUUUUUUUAUCUAAGAGCAUCUACAGGCACAGACAACAAAUCUAGCCCCUCAAACGCGCACAUCCCGGACAUAUUUACGUACUACGUAUAUCAACUAAGAUUAACUACACUACUCGUCAUCGUCGCAGAUGUCCAUGAUCUUCGUGCCCAGCUCCGGGUACAUGUGCGACAGCUGCAACUCUGAAUCCUCUUCGUCGGCCUCCGCCUCUAGUCCGGCACCGGCUGCUGCCCCCCUUCUUCUCCUCCUCCUCCUACUCCUACUCUGGUCCCGACGAGUCCGAAGGCAGACCGGCUAUGAUGUGGGCGGCGCGCCUCGCCCGAAUCUCCUCAAACAUUUUAAAGCGGCGUUCCGGCGCUAGCAUAGCAUAAGUGGUAUUCUUCUGCUGGGCCAUGGCGGAGUCAGACGAUGAGGGAAGAGUGAGACGAAAAUGGAAAGAGGUGGAUGGGCUCGGGCUGGCGGCACGAAGAGGGAGGAAGUGGAUGUGGCUAGUGCUGGGGGGUGCCGUCCGGCUUAAAUAGUCGGACUUUGGCACUCAGGCGGUGACUCGAAGCAUGGGCUCGGGCUGGCGGCACGAAGAGGGAGGAAGUGGAUGUGGCUAGUGCUAGGGAUGUCGUCCGGCUUAAAUAGUCGGACUUUGGCACUCAGGCGGCGACUCGAAGCGGCGCCACGCGGAGUUCACACUCCAUGGGAGGAGACGCCCGUCGGGUCGCCGUGUUUCCUUGUGGGACACCAAUGUGAGUCCGACAUGGUGGAUGUGCCCGGGCCGCCCCAUAUUUGCCCCUGAUUUGGGCUGAAUAUGAGAGGUGCCGGACAGCCGGGGAGUUUGAGGCGACCAUAUGGAUCGCAUCUUUUUGACUGGUCACUGACCAAGUCGUCCGCCCAGGAGUUUGAGGGUUGUUUACGGUGCCCAGGUGUAGAUGCUCUAAGCAGAAACCAUUAGAAAGCAAUAGCCCCUGCUGGGGAAAAACGGUUACCGAUCAUUGAAAUAUUUUAAAAUUUCAUAAAUUCAAAAAAUGUUCAUGGAUUUAAAAAUUAUUCACGAAUUCAAAAAAAGUUCACAUAUUUUCUAAAAAUGUUCACAAGUUUAAAAUACUUUCAGAAAUUUUAAAAAAGCUCACGAAUUAAAAAAUGUUCAUGGUUUCCAAAAAUUCUCAUGAAUUACAAACUAUUCAUGAAUUUUAAAAUGUUCACGAAAUUGAUUUUUUUUUCAUGUAUUUGGAAAUUAUUCACGAAUAUAAAAAAUAUUGAUGAACUUAUAAACUGUUUUAUCGAUUUUAAAAAUGUCUCCUGUUAUUUCAAAAUUAGGAGUUUUUAAUAUAUUACUUAAUUUUAAAAAAUGGGAAAAGAAAAGAAAGAUAAAAAUAAACAAAAAAAUGGAGAAGGAAAAAGCAUGUUGGGUCGGCCACAGCGAAGUUAGUUUGAUGUUGUAGACUUGCAGGUGCUAAGCUUAAGUUAGGCCCGCGUUACGCGUCAAUUGGUUGGUCUUUAGCAAAGACCAGCCGGGUCUUGAGCUGCCAAUGCAUGUGAUGCCCACCGUGCGAUCGUCCAUCUCCUUGUCCAUCCCUCGUUGCAACAUGAAUCAUCUUCCAAAUGUCAUUGCAACAUGGUCCAUGUUCAAACCUUGUUGCAACACGACCUAUGUUGCAAAAGCACCUAUCGCGAGCCCCACUUUGCAAGCACCUUUGGUGAGCUCCCCUUGCAGCAGGACCCUGUUGCAAGCACCUUGGAUGAUCCCCCCUUCAGCACGACCCCUGUUGCAAGCACCUCCGGGGAGUCCUCUUUGUAGCACGACCCCGUUGCAAAGCACCUCCGGCAAUUUGUGUACAUAAUAUUAUGAAUAGAUGAUGUUCAGUCGUACUACAACUUACGUGAAUAUGCUAGUUCUGGCUGAAGCUUAAACCCAAUCAAAAUAAAUUAAUCAAGAGAAACAAUGUCCUCCUUUUGUUGAUUUGCGUACAUAAUAAAAGUAUGAAUGGCAGCUCCCGCAAAAGAAAGUAACCACGAUAAGAGAAUAAGCGCCCCCAAUGGCAAAGUCUGUCAAGCAUUUCCUGCAGAAUCUGCAUAAAUUUUACAAGUUCCUGUGCAACCAUGUUUAAGCCGAUCUUGAUACGAACAAGUUCACGCUUUCAAGCACACGAACAGGAUUUUUUACACCUUCAUUUCAUAACAUAAGAUGCAUGAUUACAUAGAGUAGCUUCCACCGCAAAUGAAGCCCCAAACGCGCUACACUAAGCAUGCAUCGGCCUCCCUAUUCCCUAACAUAGCCUUCCAGAUUGUCCAGGAUUGGAUCGAUAAACAAAACACACAUACACACACAUUCACGGGAGCACUGACGCUCAUUAAGCCUACUGUCUCUAAUUAAGAACUUGGACUGAUAACAUCAUAGUACUUGGCAUACGGAGUAGUACUACUUUUGCGGCCAAUGCCAUUGCCAUGGCAUGUAGCCUAAGCCAAGGAGAGCGCCUGCAAGCCCGAGCCUGCCCGAGCCACCGCGCCAUCGGGCUGGAAGAAGCGCACGUACCUCCCAUGGUCGCGGAAGACUGCGGGCCAGUCCCAGACCGCGAGGACGUCCACCGGAACGACGCUGGUGGAGCCGUCGGCGUAGCGGAUCCGGACCUCACGGGGGACCUCGCGGGGUUGGCCGACGCAGAGCACGGCGUGCACGGUGGAGAGGUCCGGCGCCGCGAAGCAGGCCGGGUCGACCUCGACGACCCACCCGAAGCUGCGGCAGCUGUCGUCGAUCCCCUUCUGCGUGCGCUGCUCGGUCGGGUAGUCGCGCAGGGCGACGUGGGCGAGGAGGUCGUUGACGUCGCGGACGAGGUGGUCGGAUAUGUUGUGUGCGAGGUAGUCGUCGAGGAUGGCCGUCCCACAAGCGCGCACGAGCUCCACCGUGCCGCUGCCGUCCCGUGACGCGAACGGCUGCUGGCGCAUGGCGGCCUCCCGGUCGGCGGGCGAGCGGAAGCGCAGGCCCAUGGUUCCGCGGGCGGAGCCGAGGAGGCUGAAGCGGCCCAGCAGGUCCGGGGCCGUGGCGUUGAUGGCGUCGUGGAUGAAAGUCGCCGCGUUCCCGCCCCCGCCGAUGGAAGCCGUCGUGGGCCGUCGGACGUAGGCGUGGGCGAAGCACAUCGCGUGGAGCGCCUGCACGGAGGCGGGGCUAGGGGCUGCCGGAGCGCCGGCAACGCGACGGACCGCGGUGGCGGCGGCGGGGACCUCCGCGGGCUUGUACACGUCGUGGUACUCCGGGCGGUCGGAGAGGACGCCGGCGGCGGUGACGCGGUGGGCGCGCGCGAGCGGCAUCUUGAGAGCUUGAAGGGCAAAGCGGCGUUAGGCGGUGGAGAGAGGCAGACUGCUGAUCACAGACGCGGAUGUUGGCUGGGCUGGUAAUGGCGACGAGGGGAGGAGCUGUGCCUUUUAUAGAGUGGUGACUGACUGACUGGUGAGGAGCUCCUGCGGUACGUGGACGGUGAGGGGGAGGGAGGGUGCGCAUUGAACAGUGGAGUGAAGAGUGAAGCGCAGCCAUCUUUGACUUGGAGCGCAGCUCUAGUCUCCUCCUAGCCUUCCUAGAGGUGAGCUGCACCGCCUAGCUGGAGAAGAGCAGGGGAUACUGGAGUCGUGCGCGUCAAGGAAAACAUGCGUGCUACCGGAGAGAAGAGAUGUGCUGCAUGGGAAGAUCGAAGCAUGGCCGGGCGCAAUAAACUCAACAGCUGCAUUUUGCUACUCCAAAAUUUAUUCUGCAUUUUUCUACUAGUUUGUUCUGGUUUGGCAUUUUUUUUUACGGUUCUGGUUUGGCAUUUUUUUUCUACUAGCUGUCCUGCUUGUUUUCCAAGUUUAUAAUCUGUAAUUAUGACCAAUGGACGAAACUAUAUCUAUACGGGGAAAUACGCUGGGGACGCAAGUGGCGGGGGCAGCGCGGCAGCCAAAAAUGCUAGACACAUGGAAUGACCAUUAAUAAAUUUUACGGACUGGCUGACCUGUCCUGUUUUAAUUGAUCAAAGUAAACUUCUCCUCCUACUUAACACNNNNNNNNNNNNNNNNNNNNNNNNNNNNNNNNNNNNNNNNNNNNNNNNNNNNNNNNNNNNNNNNNNNNNNNNNNNNNNNNNNNNNNNNNNNNNNNNNNNNNNNNNNNNNNNNNNNNNNNNNNNNNNNNNNNNNNNNNNNNNNNNNNNNNNNNNNNNNNNNNNNNNNNNNNNNNNNNNNNCUGGUGGGGUGGGCCGUGGGCGCACAAGGCUGUAAAACCCCGUAUUUUUCCAUCGAUGUAGCAAAGCCGGCGGCCGACCAUGUGCGCCAGUUCCCGCCGUGAUUCACUUGUGUGUACUGGAAAAAACAUGGGAAAUCAUUGAUAAUUGAUAUACGGUAUAAUGCACCGGAAUACGGUCAAUUAUACAUGUCGGUUUUGUACAUAGACAUCGUACGUGCUGUUGCACUAUUUCCUCUUUGACUAUGGGUGGACCUUAUAUAUGUGCGUGCGUAGUUGUCCCGCUUGUUUUUCAAGUGUAUAAUCUAUAGUUAGGACCAAUGGAUGAAACUAUAUCUUUACGUGUCACUAGAAGAACACCCGUGCGUUGCAACGGGGCCACAUUAACUUUAAAAGUUCAAUAUUAAUAUUCUCAUAUAUAUCAAGUGACAUUGGCGACCUUUUUUAUCAUCAAUGCCUCACACACACUCUCUGCCUCCCUCUUCCUUACUCUCUCCCCCUCUCCCUCUCCCUCUCUCUCUAACACACACACAUAUUCAUCUUAUUGGGUACGGGACCAUAAUCCAUCUAUUUCACACACACACGCUAGUACAUAACAAUAUGGAUUAUGUGUAUUAUAUUUGCCACCACUACUGAGGGAAUUAAUUUCAUGUAAAUCGGCCAGCCACAGCUCCAAGAAUACGCGGAGAAGGUGGCCCGGGUCGGCGUCGGCGCCGUCCGGCACGGGCCACAGGCCCGCUUCCAAGCGCGUCUGCGCGUCGGCCACCCACGCCGUGUCCUUCAAGUGCCACUUCCACCGCACCAACUCCCAGGGUCACGGCCAUGGCCAGGGCCAGGGAAGCCGCCCUUCUUUGCCCCCUUCACCGGCCGCGGCUAACGCGGUGCCGCGGCACCCGGCCUCGCCGUCCUCGUCCUCCAGCACCGUCGCGACCCAGUGACGCAGCCCAAGCAUCGGCCUCGAGAAUCAAGAACGCUCGACAACGUAGAGGGAAGGAAAGUUCAUAUACAUGUCAUAAGAGAGGGAGUUUAUUUACUGCUCCCUCGAUGUAUUGUUUCCUUUGUUUGGAGAUUGAUUACCAUCCGUGAGUUAAGCUAAGGUUUACGUGAUUGAGCGAUUUUUGAAAAUCAAUUAUUUUGUUUUCUAAUUAAUGUAAUUGAGUGAUUUAAGGUAAGGUUAAUUAAUUUAGAUUUGAUCUUUAGAGAUUGUUCGUGAUUGAUUCUACACUACUAAAUAACUUGCGCCAGUAUGGAAAGUUCUGAUCUGUUUAGAUUUCUUUCGUUGUGUGAGAGAGUGACGCAAAAAUAAACCGAUGAAGUGAGGGGAGGGGACGAAAAAAAUCUACGAAAAAAAAA
RNAcentral lists this long non-coding RNA (77753 nucleotides) under Triticum aestivum (bread wheat). RNAcentral's name for it is "long non-coding RNA (TAES_LNC008036)". The stretch from base 71303 to 71437 matches the Rfam family "MIR1120/MIR1122 microRNA precursor family". The record is from RNAcentral. Lineage: Eukaryota; Viridiplantae; Streptophyta; Magnoliopsida; Poales; Poaceae.